This 69382-nucleotide long non-coding RNA is filed under the name Eucalyptus grandis. RNAcentral's name for it is "long non-coding RNA (EGRA_LNC003592)". The record is from RNAcentral. Lineage: Eukaryota; Viridiplantae; Streptophyta; Magnoliopsida; Myrtales; Myrtaceae.
AGAAGCAGCGUCAGUCAAGUUGUCGAGGGGGGCAUCGUAGAGAGGAGAGAGCUAAGAGGAAAGUAUCAAGAGAGAGAAUAGAAAAGAGCUAAAGACCAAAGAAAUUAGGGAUUUUAGGUUUAGAAAUCCCGAUUCCAGUUUGGUUUUGGUUCGUAAUCAGGAAUUGCAGGUUCCAAAAAAAAAAGUAGAAUUGAGAACCGAAACCUUCCUCUCUAAAAUCGGGAAUCGUGCUCACCCCUACUCUUGAGUCUACUGUGAGUUUGCUUAUCUUUCCCUGUCGCGACCUACCCUCGAGGGGAAGGAAUAGGUUUAGGGGUAUUACCUAAAGGAUGAGCCUAUGGCCCAUCAUUAGGCACGAACUCUCCCAAGUCCAUACCACGCAUAACAUUGAGAUAUUCUUAAGAAUUUCGCAAAAAGGAGUCGUCACUAGCCUAUUAAGGUCGGCUAGAAACCAAGUGAGACAUGAGAGUGUAUCUUACUUCCUACGCAACCAAAAGAUCUAGGGUCGAGGACUUAAUUACACUAAUUGAUCAAUUAGCUCUCUUUCAGUAUCUAGUCUUGUUCAUUUUAACAUAAAAAAAUUUUGUCAAGCGGUUUAAAUCGAUUUUAUACAUAUCCACUAAUAUGUGAGGUAAUUAUGCGGGUGCGCAAUCACUAAAGUAGCAAUUAGUAGUCAAGAAAAUCAUUUAAAUAAAUAGUAUGGGAGAGCACGCAUUUAACAUUAAGGAUCAGAUAAAUGCUAAUAAUAAUUAGACUAAAUGGAAGCCAAAAUCAACAUAUCAAAAUUGCAUAAUCAAAGAUAUUCAUCUUUAAGGACAACUAUAGCCUCUAAGAUGAAACCCUAAAGGCUUACUCAGUUUUUUGUAGCAUAGCUCUAGAGUUAAGAAACUUCCAUUUUUUUCCCUUUUUUAGAAAACAACUCAUAAAAUCCUUUUGUAAAAUCUUUCACAAGGAAAUUUGAAUUUCCUGACAUUUUUCAUUUUUACAUUUUUUUCAUUUUUUAUUUAUAAUUAAUUUUUUAGAAAAAAGGUCGAAUUUUUAAUAUUUUUAGAAAUAUUUUGAAUUUUUUAAUGUUCUCCUAAAGUUGUUUGAAUUUUCGGAAUUUUUUUUUGAAUUUUUACUAGUUUCCAAAUUUUUAAAAAAAUUUAUAACUUUUUUUCGAAAAUUUUUGAUAUAUUUAAUAUUAAGGAAAACAGGUUUGGACCGGUAAACCCAAUCCAGCCCGUAGACCCAACCCAAAUCGGAUCCAACACUUUUGGAUUAUUUAAAUAAAAAAAAAACGUUUUCAUUUUUUUCUAUUUUUUCAAAAAUAAAUAAAUAAUUAUUUUUGUUUUGUCUUUUCUCACUGCACCCCUUUUCCCUGCACCAUCUGCUUCUGCGACUCCUCUUUCCCGAAGCCACUUUUAUCCUCUUUUCCAUAUUUUGUUUUACUUUUCACUUUUCUAUUCUUUUCUUUUUCUUUUGUUUUUUUUCCUUUUAUUUUUUUUUCCUUUUUGGUCUUCUUCUCCUUCGUGUUUGCCCCCUGCACGCCUUCAACCCUCUCGAAGGCAGUCUUCUCCUUCCUCGCGACACUCCUUGCCGAAGCCCCUUUUAUCUUUUUUUUUUUUUUGCUUUCUGCAUUUGUUCUUUUCAUCAUUUAAAAAAAAAAAAAAACUACCUUCUUCCCCAGUAAACUCUCACGCCCAACUCUUCACCGAAGCCAUACUUCAACCCGAACUUUGCCCACACGAUCGAUUAGCGUAACCAUUGUCCCUUCUGAGUUAGAAAACACAAACUAUAUUUCGGCUCUCUUUGAAGCAUUUUGUCAAACAUUGGGUAUGCUGCAGCUAAAAAGGCCUUACGGGCUCACUCGAGGCUUGGAUUCAGGGAAAGAUCAACACAACAUGCACAAGCAACACUCAAGAUCUGCUCAUGGGCAGGUUAAUCACAGUCGGAACAGGUAUGAACGAAGAACAACUAUCUCCAAGCUUCAACAAACUUGCAAAACUUAGAUAUUGUUUAGGCAUUCCCACAAGCAUUUGGUGUGCGUUAUUGACAUGGGGAAUUUUCUACUUUGUAGAGACGCGAGACAAAUCUAAACCUCUACGACGACCCCUACGACGCGUAAUAAAGCAGCUAGCAGCUUUCAAGGAGGAUUGGCUUGGGCCGAAACUUACGCAAACUAGUCGACACAAGCUCCGGCCCGAUGCCUCCCAAGAAACAAGGGACACACAGUCAAAACAAAACCUACCUGGUUCGAGAGGAGGACUGCAGCGAAUGGCGGCGGACGAACGGACCUCCGGCGACGACCAACCACUCUCUUGAGCUUGCGUUCUCUCUUUAAGUCGCUCUCUCCUAGCCGAAGGCCUCUCCCUCUAGCUCGACUUCCGUUCUCUCAAGCUCUUUGGUCUCACUCUUUGUUUCUCCGUUGAACUCCCAGAACUAGUCGAGAAAAAAAAACCCCUGUCUUCUAUUUGCUCUCUUCCUUUUAAGCUCGGCCAACGACAAGCGUGCGUGGCUUCUGCCACUGCCAGCCCGUUGAGGCCACUUGAUCUCCGACCCUGGGAUCAUGCCGUUCUCUACCGAUCCUCUGACCUCGCGAUCCUCUGUCUUGCCCCUGGUUUGUACGUUUCUCUUUCUUCUUCUUUUGCAGGAGCGUGGUUGGCGUGAAGGGAGGAAGAAGACUCACACAUGGGCUGGGUUGAAAGGGAAAAAGGGGUUGGGUUGAGCUCAGUGCGAAGGAAAGAGAAAAGGAAACAAAGGAAGUAGCCAACCCAAGGCUUGUCCGGACCUAGCCCGAUUGCUCCUAUUUUUUUUUCUUCUUUUGAAUUUUUUUAUUUUAAUUUAUUUUGUAAAUAAUUUUUUUUGAUAAAUUUUAAAACUAGUGACGCAAAUGCUCCUAAUAUCUAUAUGUGAUGCAAUUUUAAUGAAAUUUUUUUGUUAAAGGGUUAGAAUUUAAUCCCUAAUUUUCCGAUGCAAUUAAUAAACAUUUAAACGAAUCGCCAAAAUUUUGGUGUCAACAUUCCUUUGUCCAAGAAAAGAAAGAGAAAAUUUUCUAGUUGUAACAAACGCAUUGCAAAGUGUAGAGAGAGGGGGUAAGGGAUAGUGUGCUUAGGUUAGUGAGAUAGAGGGAAGACGACUUUUAUGCAAAAAUCCUCUUAGACCUCUAGCGGACCCCACACCUCUGCAUGGCGCUCCAUUAGUGGGUGGAGAUCAUGCUGAUUUGGUAGUUUAGGACUGUCACGACCUCUUUUUUUCCGUCCGGGGGAAAAAGAAAGAGAGGUUUAAGGGUAUUUGCCUAAAGAGGUGGACCAAUGGCCCUAGAAUAGGCGCGAGCUCUCCCAAGCCCAUACCUCGCGCGACGUUAGAUUCAUUUUUUAGUUCUUAACAACCUAUGUAAUUCUAGGAGUCGCCACUAGCCUAUUAGGGUCGGCUAAAAACCAAUCAAGACACGGGAGUAUUGUCUCGAUUCAUACGCAACCAGAGAUUUCUAGGAACGGGGACUCGUUUACGCCAAUGUUUCUAUUAGCGCCCUUGCGGUAUCACUAACUUGGAAUGUUGUUUAUCUAAAUGGCCAUAUAAUCUUGAUUACCAAUUAUAAUCUUUAUGAAACCACUAAGUGUUCAUGCAAAUAUUUUUGUAUUUUUUUUUAAAUGUCUAGACUAAUCUUAACAUAAUUUAGAAGAGAAAUUUACACUCAAAUUAAUGAAAAGCGGUGCGUAAAUAAACAUCCAAGAAAUUGAAAUGACUUGAAAAUAAACACGGAAAAGGUAAACCCGAUACAAGUCGGGCAAAUAAUAUUACAUGGCCUUGUUAUCAUGCCCCAGGACAGGACCCCUGUGAGCGAAAUGGAAAUUUAAAUAUGCAUGAAAUUACUCUAGAUGCAUGAAAUUACUCUAGAUAAUUUUAAUCUAUGCAAAAUUGAUUAUUUACAAUGAUCAUAAAAUACCAAAAUAGCAUUAAAUUAGGAAAAUGACAUUUUAAAAAUAGGAAAAUUUCAUAGAUGCCAUUUUUGCCUUAAUUUGAUACAUCUAUCACCUUUAUAUUUUUUUUGAAAUUUUUGGAUUUUUGGAUUUUUAUAUUUUUUUAUUUAAAUAAAAAUAAUAAUUUCCUAAACCGAUAUAUGCUAACAUUGAACAACACAGCACAUGAAUAUCACAAUAACCGGGCUCAAAUCGACCGUUUCAAAAUCGAAACUUGGUUUGCGCAUUUCGUUGAACACUUGGCGUGCAUGAAAUCACCCCAAAUCAGCUUCCUUGGGCCAUGUUUGCGGCCUUUAAUCUCAACGCAUGAGCAAUAUUAUGUGGAACUAAAACAUCAAGGUUAAACUACCACAUGCAAGAAGUAAGAUUAGAUAGAAAUCACAGCUUAAAACACACAAAAACCAAGCUGGAAUCGGCCUCAAAUAUGUGGGUUGAGCUAAUUUUGAAAUUUGGGUUUGAACCAAAGUCAAGCAAACAGGUUGCAUACCCAUAUUCAAGCCUCAACACUCAUCGCAUACGAGAUCUAAAGGAAACAUUACUUGAUCCGAGUGAAAGUAGGUAACAUGAGCUUUCAAAUGCAAUAAAAAUCACAGAGAAUGACCCACCGAACAACAUUAAAACGACCUCUCCAAGAAGCACACAUGCAACACUCUUGAAGAUAUUUCAAACACUUAGAAAAAUUUCAACCUCAGAAAUCAGUUUUCCGGGCUGGUUUCCCUCUUGAUUUUCAUUAUCAAAACAUGCUCAAACUCGAAAAUACGUACAUCUAGGAUGCUUACCUUACUUCCUAGUUUCCUUUUCAAGUGGUUCUUGGCCAAGGAAACUGAGAAAUUGUCCUCUGGAAGCACGUGGAAGUUGGCUUCUUCAACUGGAAAUGAGAUCUGUAGAAAAGAAGAACUGACAACGAAGGUUUUCGUUGACCUCUAAAAUUAGACUUUAAGACGUCUUUUGUUGGAAAAAUUGACACCAAGCCAAACUAUAUGUAUUCUAGUUUGGGUUAGAAUUCAAUAUUUUCCUCAUUUGUUUCUCAACUUUCUCAAAAACACUGCAUUUUCCCCACUCAUGACCAAUUGGGCUCAACACUUAGAAAAAUUUUCAGUGUUUCCUGGCCCGCCUGGGGGGUGUAUUUCGAGGGGCUUUAGGAGGCCUUCCCGAUCUCCAUUUAAGACGUGCGACCUAUGGAUGGAAAGAUAUUUGAGUGAAGUUUCACUCUCUACUUGAAGAUUUUGGCUAAUUUUGGCCGAAGGGUUGUGAAAAUCUCACUUUUCUCUCAAAAGGUUGAUCUGGAAUUUCUGGGUUUGCUCUUCUGGAAUUGCUUCUGAGGGCCUCUUUGGGGAACGAUUCCGAGCUCUCCUCUCCUCUCUCUUGUCCCUUUCUCUCAUCCCUUUAAAUACCUUGCUUUAGUGAUCUUAUCCCCUGAAUUAAGGGAUUUUUGGUCAGCCUUUUGUCCACCUACCAAGCCUGUCAACAGGGCUACUUCACCUACUCUUCUGACUUAGCCAAUUUUUUUAACUUCUGCAGCUAUUGAGUGUGCGGACUUUGCUGCGACUUUCCCGUGCUUUUAGCAGCUUAUCCCUGGCAAAUUUUCGUCCACUUGCACUACUUUAUACGGUCUUUCAGCACGUGCAAAGAUCGAGCUAAAUGGGCGGCUGAGUGGGAUAUGAUGGGGCCACCAAUAUGGCUACUUAACAACUCCGAAUUAAGACUUAAUCGUGGACUGAGAUUUGGCAGCUGGUUUGGAUGCUUUAAUCCAUCACUUUGGCUGUGGUUUUUGAUCAAUUAGCAAGUUCAUGUAUAGUAGUUUAAGAUCUCGACCAAAUUUCGCAAUUGUGCCACCUAAUUUUGCAAAAAAGUCCCUCAAAAUUGGCAAUUUUCUUAUCCGAAAAUACCCAAUUCAAUACAAAUGUGGUCUUUUUGGCUUAAUUUGAUUGAUUCUACUUGGCCCAAAUUCAAUUCCAACUUAAUUGAUGACCAAGAUGAUGAUUUAAGGGCUCGGGCGCAAAUUUUGCAAAAUUUGCGAAUUGGUCCAUCGACUUUUGGAAAUUGCAUUUUGGCCCCAACUUGUCAUUUGAAUUCCAAUCUGACCUCCUAGGCUUGGCUAUUCACAUUUAGAUCAUUGGCCCCAACUUGCUCUCUUUUUUUUUUUUUUUCGAUUUCUUCUUUUUUUUUAAAAAAUUAUUUUUUUUAUAGGAAAAACAUCUUUCAUUUAAAACACGAUAUUAAACACCUAAAUAAUCUAUAUGCCAGAAUGAAAUAUUUUUGGGCAAAAAUUAGGUGUCAACAAGGACCACCCAAUAUUUUAUCCUUGGAGUUUCCUCAGGUCAUGAGAGCUUCUAGUUGAGGCCACUUGAGCCACCAAAUGGGACUUCGAGAUGGAAUCUCUUACAAUGGAUAUGAACUAACUAUGCCAAAGGCAACUACCUCUACGUGGCAUUCCCCUAAAGGCGACUUCAAGGUGGAGAGAUUGGCAAGCAAGAAUAGCAUUGCGAUCACUAUCUGAAGGAUAGCAAAGAUUUCAAUCAAUGUCAUUCCCGUGACAAAAGAAGACAACCAAGUACGCUACUACCAAAUUCUUUCGGAUGAUUGCUUUGCUCACUUGGAAGUUUAAUUCAAUUUUUUAGGUGUUAAAAAUUUAACUACGCAAAAGCAUGGUUUUGAUGUCGAUGAUAAUUUGUGUUUUAAUCUGUGCGAGUGUAUAUGUGUAUGGGAUAGUUGAUGUAGGAAUGAACAAGGAGCGAGGUAUAUGAGACAAGGAUAGUUUCACUAGUUUAGAGAAGUGAUUUUACAAUAAUUGGAGAAAAAAUGGUGGAGGAGCUUAGGGAUAAGGAGUUUAUUGUAAUCAUUAAAAAUAUAUCUCGAGUUUGAGCCCAUAAACGAAAGUCCAAAAUUACAUGGGAAACUCCCUACUUGAGAUAUUUGGUAUUUAUCUAAUGGAUAUCUAAACUAGAAGAUUAAAAACAUAGGAGAGGGAAUAUAUGGAAUAGAGUUGGAUUUGGCAAGGGGCUUCACAACUUAUGUGUGUUUAUAUAUAAGGUUAAUACCCUGAAAAACCCCGAACUGGUACACGUGUAACAAUUUUACCCCAAACUAUUUUUUUGACCAUGAAAAAUCCCAAACUGGUACACCCGUGACAAAUUUACACCGACUCACCAUAAAAAACCCUAAAUUGGUACAUUUAUGACAAAUUUAUCCUAAACUAAUUUAUUCGAUCGCAAAAAACCCAAAACUAAUAAAUUUGUGACAAAUAUACUCUUCGCUAAAUUGAAUUAAUAUCACAAAUCAUAAAAAUUGUAAACUUUGACAAACGGAUCGUAAAAUCUCAAAUUGGUAUACAAGUCAAUUGUCAUCUGUCAUUUAACUUAAUAAUUUGAUAAUAAAAUUAACAAAAACUAACAGAGGGUAAAUUUGUCACAAGUGUACUAGUUUGGAGUAAAUUUGUCAAAGGUAUACCAGUUUGGGGUUUUGGUGGUCAAAAAAAUAAUUUUUGGUAAAUUUGUCAUAAGUGUACCAGUUUGGGAUUUUUCAGGGUAUUAACCCUUAUAUAUAUAUAUAUCCUUGGAUCAUUAGUCUGUGUAUAUGCGAUAGUUAAUGUGCAAAGUGGACUUCUUCAAGAGUUGUGUGUUGCAUGCGAUGCAUGCUGGUGACUGUUUGAUAGCUGAUUAAAUCUUGUAAUAAGAUUUGAAUUAUUCUUUCGUGAGAUUGAGAUAUUAUUUCGUGAGAAAUUAUAAGGUUAAACAUUUUGUGAAUCAUUGGGUGUAAUCAGGGGUUGGAAAUAUUUAAAGUAUUUAAAUAAUUUAAGUGUGGUUGUAAUCUCGAUUAUAUCACUUAAUCUAUAGUGAAAUUCGUUAUUACUCUUUCCAUGGACGUACGUCACAACAAUCAAAUCACAUAUAUUUUAUGUUCAAUUUAUUUCUUUAUUUUAUCUAUUUUAUUAUACGAUUACUUGUGCACAACAUUAAUGCCCUCUAGUCACUCACUGGAGGGCAAAACGCUACACACAUGGUGUUGGUGGAGGUCUCAACCUCAUACGCAACUACCACAUGAAAACCCAUAUUUACAGGACUCUGGGUGCGUUUGGGAAGACUUUUAGGGAAAGUCUUUAGGAAAAUGCAAAGACCUUUGAGUUAAAGGUAUUUUCCAAAAUGCAAACUGUGUUUGGUAAAUUAUAAUUUGAAAGCUCUUUGUGAAGUACCUUUGAGCAAAAUGGUGUUUGGGGGACAAAGGACUUUUAUGAUAAAAAAAAUUACCAAAAGAAAAAUAAAAAAAUUUGACUGUGUGGGUCAUAAAUACAGACAUUAUGUACUUAAAAUUUUAGUUAAAUUCACAUCAAAAUAGUUUAUAACUUAUAACCUAAAAUAAAAUCCAAGUUUAGACUCUUUUUUAAUGAAAUUCCAGUAAAAAUCAAAGUCUUCUUUUGGUCAUUUUCCCAAGUGCCGCACGAUGCCCAGCUCCUUCUUCUGCGCAGCUCCUUCUUCAACCUAGACCCUCGCCGGUGAUCCCCAACCUCACCGCCCCCAUGCCGCCGCCGCCGCCGCCGGCCUCCGAGCUCCUGUGGCAAGCGGCCGCCGCCGCCUGCGUCAAGCUCCUCCUGGUCCCCUCCUACCGGAGCACCGACUUCGAGGUCCACCGCCACUUGGCUCGCCCUGACCCACUCCCUCCCCGUCGCCCGCUGGUACUCCGACGAGACCAGCCCCUGGACCCUCGACUACCCUCCCUUCUUCGCCUUCCUCGAGCUCCUCCUCUCCUUCCCCGCCCGCGCCGUCGACCCCGUCAUCGUCCACCUCCACCACAGCCUCGGCUACGGCGCCGCCUCGACCUCCGACAGUCACACGACCCCGAUCGGCCGUCGCCGAGGCUACGCAACCUCGCCUGAGGUCGGGGGACCUCGGCGAGGGCCGCGCCUGGGUCGCGCGACCCCGAUCGGCUGUCGCCGACUCAGAUCUGAGCCAUGAGGACCCAGAUCUGGGCCACUGCGACUCGCCGAGGCGGCCCCUCGCCAUGGUCGUUGAGUCACCGCGACUCGCGGAGGUCGCCCGACUCUUCGACGACGAUCGCCUAGGUUGUCGCGAUCACGCCGGCGUCCCUCUAGCCGUCACCGGCCCCUCGCAGCAGUCAGGAAGAACAGGUGGUGAAGAUGAACAGUAUUCUCGAAAGGGCAAAAGACGGCAAAACAAAAAGUUCGUAAGGAUAAUUUCGGAAAAAAAAGAAGUAUGAACAGUACCCGCGUGAGCAUGCCGAAAAAGCCGAAAGCCCAAGGCAGGGGGAGACCUGCCUUGGGCUUUCAGCCUUCACAAGGCUGGCAUUUGGAGAAUGGAGGUGCAAAAUUUUUUGCCAAACGCCCUCUACUUGGCCCAAGGGGCUUUGGACUCCCAAGGGGCUUUGGGAAGUGGUUCCCAAACGCACCCUCUAUCCACCAACUCUUGUACAAAAUUCUUUACUCCAUUAGAGAUCUUUUCUUUUUGCUUUAGCAAUGUCCACCGCCAUACUCUAUUUAAUGAGAUACAUCUGGAGUUUUCUACAAAUUUCUAUCCCACAAAUAUCUAGUCCAUGCUAUAUAUUUCUAGAAAUUGGAUCACAAAUUUCAACAUUCGGCCCCUCUCCAAGAGUCGAGGGAGUGGUCGGCAGGAAGAAGCAGCCCAAUUUCGAGAACCCAGCAAAGCGGGGGGUUCAGGAAGCUGGUCGGCGACGGAGAGGACUAAUGCAGGACCCCGUCACUCCUCUUGACGGGUUGCGCAGCUUGCAUCUUCUCGCCCAAUCACGGAGUCUUNNNNNNNNNNNNNNNNNNNNNNNNNNNNNNNNNNNNNNNNNNNNNNNNNNNNNNNNNNNNNNNNNNNNNNNNNNNNNNNNNNNNNNNNNNNNNNNNNNNNNNNNNNNNNNNNAAAAUUCAACGUUGCUUAACUAGUUACCAAGGUUCUUUCGAGUCCGACAAGAGUUUUUCAUCUCGUUGUCCCAGUCAAUAAUUGAAGUGAAAGUGUAGACUUUAUCUUCUGACAAUGAUAGACCCAGCUUGCAAAAUUGAGUAUACUCCGUUGUAAUGUUCACUCUAGAUCCUAGAUUUAACUCUCUGAACUCUAGUGUUACUUAGAUUCUAGAUCUGUUGUACUGCCUGACGAACUCAAGUAAUAGUUCAAUAUUCAAGCAGCGCGAUUUGCUGAGGCUUAGAUGCUGAACAAUAUAUUCAACGAAAGCCCAUGUGUUGUGCCCAAAAAGUCAACAUACAUAAGCCUCCAAAUGCAAAUUUUUUUUUCCCGCCGAUUUGUUCUGACUUUGUCGAGCAUCAUUUAUUGACAUGGUUAGAAGUUGCAAGAGAUUCCUAGAUUAGUACCUGCCAGGCUGCAGCCCAAAAAACAACCUAGGACCAUCUCACAGCCUUUUGAAGGGCGGCCGCUCAUGCACCCGUUCAUCUCCUCUUUGUUAAAAAAGAAAACCAUGUUUAUCAAGAAAUCUGACGAAUUUAUAUUCAUCACGGUUAUUUGAUGCGUACGGCCCACUUAUUUCUAACCCUCGGAGCAAGUCUUGUAUGUACUUAAUGCAUGUAAAUUUAUUCUUAGACUGUGUGAUCCCUUUAUGACUUUCAACAUUUAAUGAUUAAAAUGAACUUUCAACAUUUAAUGAUUAAAAUGAAGUGAGCUCACAUGAUUCGUCACAUAUAAGAAACUUCCAUAAAGAAAACAAUAACCGCAUGGUUUAACAAGAGUGCUCUGAUAGGAUUUCCUAAUAUGUUGAACAUCGACUAUGUACGGUUCGUCUUCAUCGCAUCUCCAUGCGUGUGCUUGGGACAACGUACUGUUGAGGCGGCGAUGCAAACAAAGUUCCGCGCACCAGAAUGUCUGUAAGUUCAAAUGCAUGAAUUGGUUGCGCAAGGGCUAUUCUCAUUAAUAUCAUGGGUUAUAUAGGACCGGCACCAAUGCAUCAAAAACACGCAGGAAUCAAUCUCUGGUCGGUGGCCAAAGAAAACAUCACUCUCUGUCGGCAAUGGUGAUGGCGCGGAAUGCUCUGUGGAGGAGGGUACGUCACUCUUCCGCAUGAUGUGCACCCCAAAGCUCCACUUUCACAAGAUAGACAUGACUCUCUACCUUCUCUCAUGGCAAUUUUCACGGCGGUAUCUGCCGCGAAGAACAGAAAAUAAUGUGCAGCUCACGGGGUUAAAAGAUGGAAGAGAAAGAACACACGGGCUCGGAGAAAAAAAAGGGAAAGGCCUGCGCCACCAUAGGAGAAAGAGUCUCGACGGAGGAGGAGGAGGAGGAGGAGAAAAAACAUCAUAAAAAUGUUCAUUAUCAUAUAAGGAUCUGUUCAUAACUUAGUCUAUUUGCAAAGUCAGCUAAAAACAGCAGAAGAACCUCAUCAGCACACCUUCACUUAUCCAAACCCCUCCCUCUGUUACUGAUCGAUAUUUGAAACAACCAAUCCCCACCCAAUUUCCUAAAAACGCGCAUGUUAAAUCUGUCUUGCUUGUAUGAGAGGAACAAACACAUUAUUUUCGUCAAUAAAAGAAAAGAAAACGAAACACGAAAAAAAGAGCCACAAGAUCAUGCGCGCAGAAGUCAUCUAUAAGACUUGAGAACAGCACCGCAGAAGGUGCAGAUGACGGCCUUCCAGGACUUCCAGUAGAACGGGACGUAACAGAACCGCGUCGCCGUCUUCAUGUCGGCCACGCUGGCCCCGCGGCCGCACCGCGAGCACGUCCCCGCCACCGGUUUGCUCCGCCUCACCUUCCUCUCCUGGUCCACCAGGAAGCAGAAACACACCAUCGAAGUUCCUCCGGCGCACUCGGGUCCCGAUUCAACCGCGAGGUCUCAUUCGAUCUGCAAAAAAUCACUCCAGCUUCGGCCCCAUAUAUCUACCAGGCGAAGAAACCCUGGAGCCCUUUGAGUGGUUGAGCGGUAGGGGCUCGGUCUUUUAAAGAUCAAGCAGGACGGGCCGUCGGAUGACCGACGCGUGGAGACGCCAGGUUUGGUUCCAGGACAUCGAUCCUGUUCCUAGUCACGUUUUUGGGGAGGUGAAACUGCUCGGCCAUCAUGGAUUCACAGUGACCAUGACGUCCAGUCGUUGUGGGGCAAAAUCGCGACGUUAAAUAUUGGAAGAAAGGGAAGAGACGCUAUGGUUGCGGAAAUGCAUUUAAUGCCUUUGUCUGUCCUUUGAGCAGUGCCCGACGCGAAAUCCAAACCAAGUUUGUCUACUGAGAGCCACACGUUCUGUAGCCUCCACACACAAAAUCCCCCCUAUUCAUGCAUGCAACGUAGGCCGCACGUUUCCUUGUAGUUUCAUCGGAGGAAGCAAGAGGGCUACAUUUUACAAAGGCUUUUACAUAAUCAUUGGAUGGGUAAAGCGAUUGCGAUGUAAGAACAUUGGCAAAUUCGGGGUAAAUUUCACCCGUUUUUUAUAUUUGAUUGGCCCAGUCAUGAUAUUUCAGGAAACAAGAAUAUUUCAGCGGGUUUUCUUGACAUGAUUAAAUAAGUCUAGGAGAAAAUUUCGUAGGGAGAAGACUAGUCGUCGGCCGUCCUUUUGUUCUAGCUAGAAUUUUCAAUGAAUGUGAUAAAUAUUGGUUUAGAGUUAAGUAUCCUUCUCUUUCAUUAUUUAUUGCGCGAAUCGUAGUUGUGAAUGUGACCUAUGCUUAGGUACCAUCGGUGGGAAGCCUUGUCAUGUCACCAAUUGUCGCGAGGCUGGAGUAGCUUGCGAUGAUGGGAAAAGGGUUUUGAGAAUUUUCGAUAGAUAUUUGUGAUUCUAGAACAUGAGAAGUGGAGAGCGGCUAACAACCAAAAUUUAAUGGAUAUUUCUAAAGAAAAUUACGCAUGGACCAAUUAUCCGGUUUGAAGUCUUCUUUUUCGCACUGUUUUUCACAAUUUUUCACUUAUUUGAAAGCAAUUUUCACUUUUUGAAGCAAUUUUUAAUUCAAGUAAUUCAUUAUGAAAAGAGAUAUAAGCCCAUAUUUUCUCGUGAUUCUUUCCAAAUAUCAUUAAAAGUGCUGCUAGGUUCCCCCAAGUGGCACAAUAGCAACAUUGAAUUAUAUUUAGAACUAUCAAAUAUAGGGUUAUGGCUCUACUGGAAUAAGUUGAGAAAUUCAUAGAUCAACCUGAAUUUAGGCAUAAUGAACGUGGUGAAUUUGCAUUUUACGUGAUAAUGAUAGAAUGAGGUAUCAUGAACAAAUCUUACUAGUUCGAAAAAAUUCAAAAGAGAUAACCUCUUUUGUGGUCCAUGGGCGGAAACACCAACAAUGCUCGAAGGAGCAAUAAAUACGAGGUUUCUUAGUUCAAAAGGUAUUGCAAGUCCACGUCGAUUUCAUUGAAAAUCAAAUACAUCUCAUGUCGGUCCCUAACCAAAAGCAUAGCCAAAAAAUAAAUUUUUGGUUAUUUGAAACCAAUUUUCAUUGAAAAUCAAUGAGCCGGUUCGAAGUUUUCUUUUGCGUAUUAACUUUUGACAAUUUUCACUUAUUUGAAAGCAAUUUUCACUUUUUUGAAGCACUUUCCUUUUAAUUCAAGUAAUUCACUAUGAAAAGAGAUAUCCGCCCAUAUUUUCUCGUGAUUCUUUCCAAAUAUCGUUAAAAAUGUUGCUAGGUUCCCCAAGUGGCUAUAACUUCCAAUAAUUUUUGUAACAUCGAAAUAUAUUUAAAACUAUUAAAUAUAGGGUUAUUGCUCUAUUGGAAUGAAUUAAGAAAUUCGUAGAGUAGCCCGAAUUUAGGCAUAUUGCACGUGGUGAAUUUACAUUCUACGUGAGCUUGAUAAAAAGAGGUAUCAUUAACAACUGUGACUAGUUUAACGGAAAAAUUCAAAAGAGAUAACCUCUUUUUGUGGUCCAUGGGAGGAUACAGGACAAUGCUCGAAGUAGCUAUAAAUACGAGGUUCCUUAGUUUGAAAGUAAUUGAAAAUCCAUGUCGAUUUCAUUGAAAAUCAAGUACAUAUCAUGCUGUUCCCCAACGAAAACUGAAAAAGGGAAGUAUGCAUAUGCUGGUAAAGGAUUGUGCAGUUAGAUUUGGCGUUCAUAUGAGAUUUGAUUCUUCAUCAUCUAGGAUGGAAAAGUGCAUUGGCGCAUAAGGGUAUACUGUGAAAUCGAUAUUUCGACUAUCUCCAUUAACAAAGCAAUAGAUUGGAGGAGGAUUACCUUUUUUUUUCUUUUUUUCUUUUUUGUGCCAGAGGAGGAUUACUUGAGAUGAUCUAAUUUUGCACGAUAUAUCAGGUUAGUUAGUCGCGUUGCGCAUGACGAUCGUUUACUAUCUCCGCUUUGCAUCUCACUAAACUCUGGAGCAAUGUGAAAUGUCGAUGUCUAAGUUCUUCAAACCUUCCCAUGUGCAACGAUCGAGGGAAAACUAGAUCCAGCUCUUGUGACGGGCUGGAAACAAUCUAACGGCCCAUUAGUUCGCAUGGAUUACGAUUUCGCAAAUAUCUAACAUGGUCCAAGCCCAACGAACUCCUCUGCAAUGGGCAAACCUGUCUGAGCCCAUUUAAGUCCAAGUCUCUCUCUUUUUAAUUUUUUUAAUCACUUCGCCUUCUUAUCUGAAGUUUAUUUUGAAUCAAUUUUUCUUCCCAUAGUUUUGACAAUAUGCGCCAAUCGAAACUGACUUCUCAAUCGAAAUGGGCGAUGCACAACUUUUGAAACGAAUGGCCAAAAUCUGUUCGGUGAACUCGUUGCGCCUCAGUUUCCUCCUAUUUUCAUCCUUAUUUUCUAUGUCACGAGCAUUGAGACAACGUAAACCCGACUCAUUUGUUGUGAUUGAAUAUGUAUGUCACAUACGGAGCAGAUUAGUCCAUCCAUUACCGUAUGUAUUUAAUAAUAAUUGACCGUUAGUGCUCUGUUAGGCUCUAAUCACGCAAGAGGUUGAGCAAACCUGGGGGUGCAUCUUUCCCUGAAUUUGACCUUUUCGUUUCCACUAAGUCUGCGUCGAGACAAUGCCCGUGCAGGCAUUCUCGUUAGGUUGGUGAUGAAUCAACUUGACGUGUCUGCUUUGACUAAUCCCCGAACGCUCAAAGAUAAGUUAUAGACAGUACGGUGCUUAUACACUAAAAAAGAAGAAGGAAAGCGGCCUAUAAUUGUAAAACCCUAGCUUGAGAAGACGUCGUGAAAGUCAAUGUUAGGUCGGAUUUCUCUAAUGGGAUUCUUGGCACUUAGCUCGUAAGGACCAGGCACAUGUUCCUGUGAUUUCCCCCAACAGGUUUUGACCUGACGCCUGCGGUCAUCAUUAAAAUAAGCGUGUGUGAGUGAGAGAGAGAGAGAGAUAAAAUAGUCGAGGGACGAAUUCAAUCCUCAGAACAUGAUAACGCAGUUUUAAGGGGGGGUGUCUUCUUGACACUUGUAGAUUCGUUAAAUCUUGACGAGGAAGAUCCAUUUUAUUUUAUUUUUAAGGGGGGGCCACGUUGCUUCAUUCGUCUCGCUCGAACGGGGGGCCAUUAAUGAACGAGGCAGGCCGACCUCGUGAUUAACAUGUGAUGAUUGUGUCCCGUGUCUUGAGAAGAGCUUGCGUCAUUUGCAGAGUCCGUGCAUUUAAGAGGCCCUUGUCUUUCCUUCUCGAUGAAGUGUCGGCAAGGGACUUUCCGGACGUUGGGAAAGCAUCCGGGCGGAACAGCGAAGAACAAAGAAGAUGGGAACUGGGAAGUACCGAAGGGAAGUUCCCCCUUUUAUCUUCAUUUUCCCUUUUAAAAUCUAAGCCGGUGCAUUUUAAGACGACCAUUUGCCAAGCAGUUUAAUCUCUUCAAAGAGAAUUAUUCAAAAAUUCCUAAAUCUAUCAUAUUUAUGUUGAUUUAGUCUUCAAACAAUAAUUGAGUUUACUUUGUCAAUUUUGACGAAAAUUGCAGGCAUAAAUGUCAAUUAUCUUAUGCGGUAUGUAAUUUGCCACAGCCCUCACUUGCCCUCUCCCAAAUUUGCAUUAGGGCCCAAUGACCCUAGGCAGCCAUCAUCUAAAAAAAAAUUAAAAAAGAAAAAAAAUUAAAUUAAUAGAAAACAGAAAAUAAAUAAAAUAAAAUAGUCCAUAUUAGCACCAAGCGUACGAUGAUUAGCGUUCACAACAGUAAUUUCCUUUCUUUUCUUUUUUCUGUUCCUUUUUUGUUUCUUAUUAUGGCUGGGAUGUUUCAGCAACCCUUGCUGGCCAUUAGGCGAUAGUCUACAAGCCCUCAUCGAUUGCAAAUAAGGUGAUCCUCGCCUAGAUCUAGCGAGGGUGGGGCUCAUCUAUGGCCAAUGAGGACAACCCUACCCCAACCCUCUUCGACCACCUAUGAAAAGGAAAGAAAAAAACAUAAAGAGAGAGAGAGAGAGAAAAAAAAAUUUAAAAAAUUAUUCACAUUAAUGCUAGCCACAUAUAAGAUGGUCAAGGCCGAUUGGACUGCCACGUCAUCGUUUUCUAGUCAAAAUUGAUUAGAAAGACUACAUUAACAAAUUGUUAAAAGGUUUAUAAUGAAAUUGGUAUAAUUGAAAUACUUAUGACUAAAUUGAUAUAAGUACAAUAGAUACAAUUUUUUCUUUUUGAUAAUUUCUUCUUUUGUUAUCAGUGAUUGCAUUUUGCCGUGCAAUAUGGAUGUCAGUAUCCGCAUUACUACAUUGGCUCACUUUCUUUCGACGAUAUUCAAGCCCCCUCCCUCUCUCCCUACCUUGCGUACAAUUAGGUAUGUGCCCCCCCUCUUCACGGCGUGUUGUUUAUUGAAGCAAUGCGGAAGAUUAAGUCAAAUUUAUACGGGGUUAUUCUAAGUGCAUGACGUCCCACUAAAUUCCAGAAAAAAAAAAUUUAUAUAUACAUGAGAAAAAAUAUAUAUAAAGAAUCGUUGCAUUAUCUGAAAUUCAGCUGACGGAGCUUCGGGCACAUCGUCAAAAGCGGCAGGCAGAGAUCGUGCUUCCCGCACCAAUACAACCAGCCACUACCUCCACAUCCCCGCGUUUUCCUUCGUUUGGUUGGACUCUCUUUUUAAUCUCGAUUUGUUUAAUGUUAUCAUAGUCGAACAUAUUACGUUUUUCCAUGUCCAUAUGCGUGUGGAAUUUGGCGCAGACCGACUGCAAAUGUCCAUUGCAAAAUGGCUUUUGGUUUUCAAUCUUGGAAGCCCCCACUUUUUCAAACCCCGUAAAGCAAGACACUUCCAGGAGAGUAUGGACAAGCGAGAGCAUGAAAAACAUUACGGGUGGGACCAUGAGAUAGAAAAAUGGUGAGUCUAAAUUUAGUGACAAAAACUUAGACUAUUCGGAUGGAUCAAAUCAAGUUUAGACUAUGUCGAAAAUGACCUAAUCUAAAUUGACUCAAGUAACUUAAUUUAAACCAAUAUUCGACCAUAUUAUUUAUACACUUCAAUAUUUAAUCUUAUUUACAAAUUGAGAUAAGUGCACCGAGUGAGCAAGUGCAACAUCAAUUGAGGAUAAAAGAGAGUGAAGAGAAAGUUAUAAAGAUGAGUUAAGUUUAUAUAAAUCGUGAACACAUUUUAUACUCACGUUAUUUUGAAAUAUAUAAUUCUAAAUUCAUUGGCUAAAUAAAUAAUUUAUAUAAUAACGGAUUCAUCAAAUAUAAAAUGAAUGUUGGCAGGUCAAUUGAACCUGCUAAUUUUUUUUUUCUUUGGCGAGAGUCAGUGUCUUUGGCCAAAAAUUAUAGACAUAUAAAAGUGAAGCUAUCGAAUCGGUCAAUUCAUAGAUGAUCCCUUUGUACGACAUGGUCUUGGCCUAAUUUCCUUGAUUUGCGGUGAACAAUUAAAGGCGGAAAGACAAGAAAGAAGCGGUCAAAUCCGACAGUGUUCUUCAAGACGUGACCUCUUUUUUCUCGAUGCUACGUUCUAGCUUGAAAUUUACGGCAUAUGCCUCGAUUUUUAUGCUCCCUCUCUAUUGUAAUUUAAAGGAAAGACAACCCUAGGGGACCAAAAAAAGGUAUAGAAAGAAUCGAAUCUUCAUAUGGUGAAAUUUUGGUGAAGGUGGGGUGUUUACAUCAUUUUCAAUGGCACAUGGGGGGAUGGUCAUUCAUUCAAGAUGCUACCUAAUAGCAAGGGCUCAUUACUUGCCAUAAAUUUCAUGGAUCCAAAUAUCUUUCCAAUUUCAUGAAGCUAAAUAUAGUAGGAUGGUCCACGAGAGUUUUUGUCUUGGGAAUUGAUUGGUCUCCUAUGCACUUUGGAUAGAAUAUUUUUAAAAAUUGAAUGUUUGACCUAAGCAGCCAAACAAAAAUAUUGCAAUUACUCCCAAAGUACAACCCAAUCCACAAAUUCAAAGAGCAAGUCCACAAAAACAUUUAUGUAAAGAUUCGCCUGUCUAUCGAAAUGCCUAACUCCAACACCUGUCUAACUUAAAAUAUUUAAGAAAUGAACGAGCAACCACUAGCUUAGUAAAUGAAUUCUCAAGACUUAUAAUAGAAAAGAAAAUCUCCUAUCUUAUCAUAUCAAUAAAUCAUGAUUUUUAAUGUGCAAUUGGUCAUAAAUAGGCAUGACUCCGCUUAGCUUCAAUUCAAUUCUAACAAUAGCUCAAAGAUCACUAAUCAACGUCACAUCAUUCCGGUUCAAUUGGUCUAGGCACUAAACAGUCUUAAGCAAAUGAUAUAAUGACACAAACACAUAGAGAAUGUAUCUUAUGAAUGCAACGAAUACCGCAUAAUACCAUUAUAUACACAGACGGGGUCUAACAAUUUACUUUUAUACUGGCAACAAAUUCAUUCGUGUGGUCUCAUGGUUCCAUAUCACUCCCUAUUUGGAGGCUAUAGGAUCUUAUUGUCACUCACAAUAAAACACAACAUUAUUUGCGAGCGUUUUUAUUGAUGAAAAUAUCAUACGAUAAAAAAAGCCAUAUGUUUCAAUUUCUAUUCGAUAUUCCACUCGCGCAAUUUAAUGGCUUUGAAUCCGUACUGAUUCCACGGAACAAAUGAUCAAAUAUCCCAUCGAUGUUAACUUGGGCAUUAAAGCACAGUAUCUCAGAAAAAAGCAAGCGCUUGCAGGGUUCAUCUCGAGGCUCUAGUACGUUCUAGUGGGGUCAAUUAGCGCACGUUAAUUUCAUUAAACGAGGCAGAUUUUAAGGCAUGGAUAUGGGCAGACAGUAACCGAUGCCUUCAAUUCCGCUGCUUUGAUUAGCAAGGAUUUCAAAAUCUAUGCCAAACUCAUGUAAAUCUUUGGGAUAAUGAUGUAAAUAGCAUCUAAAUUUUAAUUUAAUGUGCAAUGUGAUCAUUAAAUUUUAGCUGGACAUGCAAUGUAAUUCCUGGACUUUCGAUUUAUAUUACGUGAUCUUAUAUUCAUUUUAUUCCUUGAACUAUAUAAAAAAAAAAUUCAUGUAGUCUCUGAACUUGAAUUAAUUGAAGGACUACAUAAAACAUUUUCAUAUAGUUUAUACACUAAAUUGAAUUAAAUUAUAUAGGAUAAAUUAAAAUUUUAGAAAUUACAUUAUAUUGAACUAAAAUUCAUAGAUCAUGUUGACUAAAUUUGAAUUUUUUUUUUUUAUCAGUUCUACUCUACACUCAUUCUUAGACUUUUGUCCUGCCUCUUGUAGGGCGUGGGAGUCGAAACUCACUCCUGAAACUUACGUGUCCCCACCCCAUCCCCUUUAGAAGGUAGAAAUUAUGUUGACUAAAUUUGAAAUUUAAAAAUUAUAUUUUAUAUUGAGUCAAAGUUUAAAUAUCGGACUUUUUCCUAGAUCUUUGUAAGUAAAAAUCGAAGAAAAAUUCCACGAGACCGCGUUGGAUCGGCUUGGCGGCGACGGGGUGAAACCGGCCUCGGCAUAACUAAAGGAUUCUUAUGUUCUUUCAUGUUGUCAUUCCAUUUGCCGCCGUACCUAAAACUCAGCCACUGCGACUCUGAGAGAGAGAGAGAGAGAGAGAGAGAGAGAGAGAGAGAAUUUCAGCAAGGGUAUGAAAAUUUAAAGCCCCGCACAGAAAAAAAAAAGGAUUCUUUAUCACGAUUUUAUCAUUUUAAGCCCUGACACUUGCAGGCCCUCUCUCUCUCUCUCUCUCUUAUAUAUGAGUCUCUCAUUUGCAGAGAAGAGGCUUUCCUUUAGCAGUACUUUGCUGCAACUGGGUUCUUUCGUUGCGAUCUUCUCCAGCUUUUUCGUGUUGGGAUCUCCAGAAAAGAGAUCAAUCUCGGUUCUUGGAUGGAUGCGCGGCUCUGUUUCACCGUUUCCAAGAUCUGUACAUCACUGUGAAUAGCGGGAGUCCAGGAAGGAACUCCACACUCUCUGGAUUGGCCUCUGUUCGUCUCCCCUCCCAUAGGAGUUUCAAGCAUCGUCUGCUUAGUCUGGUCAGUCUCCCUCCCUCGUUUGUAGAAUGCAUCUGAUGUUGGCCUGCCGCACCGAAUCUGAACUCUCUCUGUCUUGGCAAUUUCAUUUCAGUUUAGCAAGCACGCUUUUCACUUUCCAACGGGGUAGAUCACUCCCAAAUCGGUAACUGUCGCUUUCUGAACUUAAAGUCCAUAAAUUUGCAGGUUGAAUUGGAAGAACCAAAACCCAAAGUCCUUCCUUUUUCGACCCCCCAUCAGUCACUCACAAUUUACACGAAAUCUCGCUCAAAAGAUCCUGACUUUGGCCAAAUCUCACCUCCCUCUUGCGUAUCGAUCCCUACCCAGUAAUCAAAAUUACCCAGAGUAUAUAAAAAUAAGAAUGGGGAAGCCAUCGACGAAGAGGGAUUGGUCGCAGAUCUACGUGAUAUACGGCAUGGAGCAGUGGCAGACCCUGCUCUUCCUCCUGCUCCACGCCGUCUUCUUCUCCUCCAUGUCCGUCCUCUUCCUCCUCUACUUCGACCCCAUCUGCGCCUACAUCGAGGCGACCCUCCUGUCCUCCGCCGCGUGGGCCCGGUUCGCCGCCGGCUUCGCGGGGUGCGUGACGGCGCUGUCGGCGGUCUGCCUGUUCUACGCCGCCGGGAACUUCUUCUACUCGGCGCUGCCGCUGCACCACGACAUGGCCCAGCGGAUCGUCGGCGCGGUCAGCGACUGGUCGACGGUGAAGAACGCGCUCGACCUCGGGUGCGGCCGGGGGAUCCUGCUGAAUGCGGUGGCGACGCAGCUCAAGAAGACCGGCAGCUCAGGACGCGUCGUGGGGCUGGCCCAGUGCAAGCGGACCGCUCUCUCUACGUUGAGGACCGCAAACAUGGAAGGUAAUCUCUGUUCCAUCGUCUUUCAGAUUUCCAUAUGGAAAAAGUCGAACAACUUCACGUUUGAUCGUCCAAUGGAGGAUGAAUCCGCACGUUUGCUUCUUAUCCGAUUUACGGAGUAACACUUAAUAGGAUAAGCCAUGAAAUUUUAAGUCUACAACAGACUUCAGAAAAGGAAAUCUGGAUUCAUUACUUCCCUCACGUGAGAACAUUCUCUAUGUAAAAACCGGCAGGCGUGCAAGAGUACGUGACGUGCCGGGAGGGCGACGCCCGGAGGCUGCCGUUCCCGGACAACUACUUCGACGUGGUGGUGUCGGCGGGGUUCGUGCACACGGUGGGGAGGGAGCACGGCCACCGGACGGCGGAGGCGGCGGGGGAGAGGAUGAGGGUGGUGGGGGAGCUGGUGCGGGUGCUGAAGCCCGGCGGGGUCGGGGUGGUGUGGGACAUGGGGCACGCGGCGGAGUACGUGCGGCGGCUGCAGGAGCUGAGGAUGGAGGACAUCCGGGUGUCGGAGCGGGUCACGGCCUUCAUGAUGAGCAGUCACAUCGUGUCGUUCGCCAAGCCCAGCGAGCACGUUGUGGGCCUCGGCGAGGUCCGUUUGGACUGGAGAUGAAGGAAAGGUUUAUACUCUAUACCGUAUAUUUUCCCAUAUUUAAUUACGGUUAUAUAACUGUAUAAUCGUUCUUUUGGAGAGAAAAAAAAAAUAUAUGUAUUGAGAGAGUGAAAAUGAGAAUAUUUAGGGGAAUGGACAAAUAAAAAAAAAAAAACUUUUUCUAUUUUGGGUAUGUUUUUUUUUUUUUUGGAAUCUAGUCAAAUGUCUGGAGAGGCGAAGUCAAACUAGGUGCAUUUGAUUGGAUCACCAGAUAAGUUAAAGAAAGAGAGUAGGUAAAUUAUGGCCAUCAAGAAAAUUAUUGUUUGAUGGCAAGGAAACUCUGAUGAAGACUUGAUAUUGUACAUAUUCAUUAUCUUGCACGGGUUUGAUUGUUUCACGAAAUUUCAAUUUCUAAAUGUUUUUGCGGAUUCAAAGUACUACAAUACAAGAUUACUGCCAAUUCCCCAUGAUUAAGCUAAUUUGCUCGGUCUACAUGAAAAAGCUUAUGAUAUUGUACUUGUCAACGCUUUUCGAGUGAUUUUUUGUUUGGUAAAGAAUGGUCAAUAGUAGCUGAAUCCAAUAGUUGUCGCUUACGUGGGUUGUCGUCCAAUCGGUAUUGCGAAACUAUAGUUGCGUAGCAGCUAUUUUCUAUUGCGAAAUGUGGGAUGUUUGAGUUAUCAUGAUAUCGAUCAUUCCGUCCUUUAUUUUUCCUUUCUUUUUUGAGGGAAAGUAUUGCCAUUGGGAAUAAAAUUAGACAAGUCGGUGCAAGCUAGAGUGGUUGAUAAAUCAUAGGUUUUUGUAUAACAAUAGGCCGCGCCCAUUCAUUUGAAUAAAGUGAUCCAAAGCAAGCAAUCAUAGGCAUUAUUCAUAUCCCUUCAUUCAUAUUGCUUUCUCGUCCCCACAAGGAGUGGAACAGAAAGUGAAGUGCUUAAAAAGAUGGGUGGACAAACGUAAAGUCUCGAGCGCGUAGCGAAAAAGGUAAAAAGCAAAGCGAAGGGAAAAAGAAAAGAAAAGGACAUUCCAUUCGACUUUUUCUAAAGUUGAAAUUGAAGCUCCUUUUUUCCCCCUUUUCCUUUCUUGUGGGUAUAUUCAGUUUUGAAUAACUUUCCCGGUUGCUUUUUAGUAUUUUACUGCCCUUUCCACGUAAAGUGAAAAUGAAAGGUGUGAAUUUGUGCAAGUAGCGGCUCUAUUAUUUAGUGGGUGCAAAAGGGGAUUGCAAAUCCUUCAUUUUCCCCCCCUUUCUCCACCAGCCGGGCUUGACUAGUGCCCGAUCGGGUCGGGGUUGGGCUUCGUGAUUUAACGUUUUUAUUCAGACCCGUCCGGAUUGCUCUUCGGAUCCACUCCAUCUUUUCGUCUUUGCCGGGGAUAGAAGAUCAUUUCCUCCCCUUCAAUUCCCCCUGAUUGUCAAAAUUAGUCCCCAUCUUUUCCUUUUAUUUUGUUUGCGCCCCUUCAGUAAUAUCAAGGACAGUUGAUCAUUUGGGCCUAAAUUUCUAACUAAGUCCACCAUCCGCAGACAAGAUUUCAUGUACCAAUUUGUUGGACCGAGCUGGCCGGCUCAAGCCCAGCAGGGCCGGUCUGGAUUUUCUUAAGCUUAAUACAGGCCCCUCCUAAAAAAUACACCUCGAGCCUUGUGCAAAUCAUGAUGACUUCUCACUCGGACCGGCUAGAUCAUUCAAAAUUUUGCUCUUGAAAAGGAAAGGCAAACGGUGGAAACUCCAAAUAAGAGUAGGAAGUGAUCAAACUAGCUUAAUUAAGGGGCUCGAGUUCACCUGAACGGCCAAAUCUUUGCUAACCGGUGACUAGAGCAGGGGCAAUCUUAAUCGAAAAUUUCUAGCUUUGACCCAAACUGAAGGAGCCCCGAAUUGUAGUAGGUAGGGUUCGUGCUCUAGAUUCCCAAUUUCGUUUAUACCCAAAUCGAAGCUAAGGUUGCAGAUCACUCCAAGUUCUCUUAAAGAUCACUCGCCGGUAAAGCCCAUAUCGUGGAUAGGGUGGACUUCAUCUCGACCAGCUUCCACUGGGCAUUGUCAACGGCCUUAUGGUCAGGGAGUCGUCGAGGGUCAUGAGGACAAAUCGAGUUUGGGUGACGUUGGUGAUUGUUGGCCAUGGAGGCGAAGAGAGUGGGGCGGGCAAGGCAAAGAACUCUAGCUUCCAUUCGAAACUUCAUCAAUUUAGGUUAAACAAAACAUUUCGGACAAAAUUGCCUCUCCUCUGGAUAUUAGCCAAAUCUCGGGUUCCUAUCUGAAACUAAAUUAGUCACUUUAACCUUUUAUUUAAGAUAAAAUCUAUAAUGAACUGUCUUUGAAUAAGACGGCCCCUCAUUUCAUGCUUUUUUCUAAGAUUUUUCCAAACAGAUAUGUUGAUUAAAUGGGCAAGGAGUUUAAAGAUUUCUUGAAACUGAUCUAAAGGGGUGUGGGUCGCAAGUGUCAUAGUAAUUCGGAUCAUUGAAAGGAAAAAAGAAUGUCAUGAAUUUUACUGGAGCCCUGAGACGGUUGAACGAGCAAACACCUUAGCAUUUAUCAGCAAACAGCCAUGUUCCAUCACGAAAAAAACAUUCGAAAAACUAAAUAUUAAAAGGAAAGAAAGAAAAGAAGGAAACAAACCGAAACCGAAUGAAAUUGCUGGAAAGAUAGAGAUAGGAUUCCGGCGCGCCAAAAGGCCCCUCUCCUCCAACUACCAACGCCCAUUCAUGGCUUCCCCUCUAUCCUCAUCUCCGUUCUUCUCUCACACUUUCAAACCCUCUCCCAACUUCCUCUCCAAUUCUCCAAAGCGAAAGUGGGUCAACACCCAUUUCGCGUUUCCGAUAAUCAAUGAGGAGCGCAGCAAAAACGGUGCCCAUACGGGCAGUUUCAAGAUCUACUGUGGUCCUUCUAACGAGGGUGUACAGGUCGGUUUUGAAUUAUUUAUUUUUCUUCCACGAUGACACCGCUUGAUGGGUUUCGUAAUCUCACUGUCUUGGUGGUACAUGCUCAUCGAGUAGCAAAUUCUUCUUCUUGAUGGCUCUGUACUUUAAUGGACAUUGCGAGCUCAAUUCGCCAAAUUUCGCGUAAUGGCCUAAUCUGGGAGAGAAAUCACCUAAAACGAGCAUGUCGAUUUUCUUGAAGAAAUCGGGGUGACCCUGUGUGCUUUGUGGACGGUGUUAUCAAUGAGAUAAGUACAGUUUUGAUAUUGUGGAUGAAGUGUUUUGAGGAAAUGUAUGGAUUAAAGAAGAGUUGUAUCACUGGUUGUAGCUAUGACUUUGUUUUCCAUUGUAAUUUGGGAAGGAAGAUUACAUUUUUUUGGAGCUGCAAUUUUGCUCCUGAUGAUUAAGUCAAGGAAAAUAAGCCGCGGUCAACCUGUUUUUAGUGAAUCCUAGCCAUCUUACUGAGUCAUGAUAUAGUUCUUAAGUUGCUGCACAAGAUUACGUGCACAUUCUUUCUCUUGUAAGUUCCUGCUCUAUGGAAUGGGGUUUCAGUGAUGCAGGGUAAAUUGGAGCAUAAAGGCUUUCCUUUCAACUUCUUCCUAACAAAUCAUGGACAUGCGUUAAAGAAACUCGAAAGUCUCGUCGCUACAGCCCUUAUUUUCGUUCAUAUUGCUUCUCCAAUUACUUCGUUGGGUUGGGAUCAUUGGUCUAUUGCCCCAGCCAAUGCUGUUCUCUACUCUCCUGACACCAAAGUUCCCAGAACCGGGGAACUUGCUUUGAGGAGAGCUAUCCCGGCGAACACAAAUAUGAAGGCUAUACAGGUCAUUAGUCACGGUUCUGUCAUUCUUUAGAUCCUCUCUCACCAGAUAAGUGAAGCCUGUCUUAAUUUGCUUAUAGGAAUCAUUGGAGGACAUCUCGUACUUACUGAGAAUACCACAGAGAAAGCCAUACGGAACCAUGGAGGGUAAUGUCAAGAAAGCUCUUAAGGUACCGGUAUUUUUCCUUUUUUAUUUUAUGUGGUGCACAGUGUAGGAGUCGGGUGUCCAAAGCAUUCUCAUUGUUGAAAAUUAUGUUAUCGAGAAACACCCAUCUCUUCCCAAACCUGGCCUAUUUUGUUCAAAAAUUUACUAGAGAGUUUCAUGAACUAUUUUAACUUGGUAAUUCUACUAUACUGUUCAGGUCUUGUGUGUUUUCUCAUUUACCAUCAGUUUCUAUUACUUUUACUUCUGGAUCUUUUCCUUGUGACCUCAUAUGAUAGUCUCUCCAAAACCUAAUUUAAUGUUCCCCUAUUUUAGAUAGCAAAGGAUGAGAGAGAUUCUAUUUUGACCAGUAUCCCAGCAGAGCUGAGAGACAAAGGUUCAUCGCUGUAUGCAUCUCUCAUUGAUGGGAAGGUAUGGUAAGGUACUCGAGAAUAUGUAAGCUCUGUUAUUCUUUAACCUGAUGUGGAUUGCAUGAAUACCAAAAUAGGGAGAGGACAUAUUGAUUCUGGACUCCCCUAAAUGAUAAACCCAGCGGAUUAGCAGAACAGAAAAGAGACUCCUAAAUUGUGCCAAAUCCUCUCAAAAUUCUUUCCUGUCCUCUUUGCUACUACUUUACUACAUAACCACUGUCAAAAAACGUUGUGCAAUGAUAACUCAAUCUAGUGUGGAUGGUAGAGGAGAGGGCAAACUUUUUAUUUCUGGCACCCAAGCAAAUUCUAUAUGAUCUCGGCCUAGGUACCUGUCAGCAAUAUCAUUAUGGUGCUUCAUCAAAUUUUUCUUGAUCGUACUUGGCUGUGCCAUUUUUCCUUUACCAGAUCUACCCAAAUGAUCCAAAGUUUCUUCCUUUUCUCAGGGUGGAUUGCAGGACCUCCUUCAGGGUAUCAAUGAUAAGGACCCCGAUAAAGUAUCUGUAGGCCUUGCAUCAUCAUUGGAUGCUGUUGCAGAAAUUGAACUGUUGCAGGUGGUAGUUAUGCUUUAUAUUGCUAGCUCCUUCUUGCAUCUGCAGACUUUCAACUGCACUUCCUUACCCUUCAUCUUACAAGAGAAUAUAACAAUGGCUAGAUUCUGAACUCCUACUUUGCAACAGGCCCCUGGAUUGUCCUUUCUUUUGCCAGAGCAAUACUUGAAAUAUCCUAGGUCAGUCCUUUUGAGAAACGUUGAAUGACUAUUUUGUUUUCUUACAAUUUAGAUUCUUAUUUGAAUAAAAUACAAACAGAUAUUAUCAAGUAAUAGAAUUUGCCCAUUUCAAGAAUACUUGUUGACGGUAAUGGCCUUAUGGGUGGUAAUAUAGAUCUGGUAUGAGAAUGACUCAUGAGUCAUGAAAUAUGAACAGGUCAGUAGGGAAGUAGCAAUGCCUGCCAUGAUAUCUUUUUAAAUUGAACUUUUUGGCUGCAUUAGGAUUUUUUAUGCAGUUCUUUUCCUGUCUUAAUUGGUAUAUUAAUAUAAUGGGCAAGAUAACAUCUUUUCCAAAAAUUUUGUUGCAGGUCAAUUUCAUCAUAACUCGACAAUGAUACAAUGGUCUUUCUACUCGACCUAACUUCAUAUACUAGUUAGGGUUGCAUAAUUUCAAGAUGACAAAUGCAUACAAUUAUCUAGUUCCUAUUUCAAGAACGCUCUCUGAUGUGAAAACUAUCCAAUUGACAUGCUGUACUUCCUAUGUAUAACUAUCUGCUGUUCUCAUUGAUAUUUAUUACUUCAAUAAACUGCACAUCUGAGUUCUACCACUUGUAGACUAACGGGAAGAGCAACUGUUGAACUUACAAUCGAGAAAGGGGAUGGAACAGCAUUUUCACCUGAAGCUGGAGGUGAACCAAGAAAGACCGCCACGAUUCAGGUAUCCACAGUUCAACAUAAAUUAGUUGACAGAGUAAUGCCCUUUGUGUGUGAACAGAAUCUAACAUGGAGAAACUGCAAUCAAAUAGCUUUCACUACUAAAAUAAUUGAGGAUAUCUAUUUUCUUUUAAGUUGUGAUCCCAAAAUUCUCAGAGCAGUUUGGACUCUUCCCAAUAUUCCAAACAAAUUAGUGUGAAAAAGUUUGGCGGUUAACAUUUUUCAUCAUGCUAUAGAGCUAGAGGAAAACUGAAGAAUCUCAGGUCACAGAUACUAUUAAUUCUCACUUCUCAGUAUGGAAGAAUGUUCGGAGCCAUUCAUCUAAGUGUUCACCAUGAACGACAGCAUGCUUUGUGAUGGUCAGACUGAGACUAACCAAGCAAUGUGGGGAUACUGGGUCUAGUAGGAAGUCUUUCUGACUAUAUAAGUACAGACGUAACCACUAUCUGAAAGCAAUACAUAGAUAUUCAAGAAGGAGGACUGUAAGAAGAAUGCAUCCGUCGGUUCUUGUGCCCUUGGACUGUCAUGUGCUUGGCUAGCCAGCUGUAUCACUAUUGGGUUGAUUUUAUGAACCCAUGGAGUUAUCGAUUUGCAGAGCCCUGCACAUUUAUUUUCAGGCGCUAACUAGUGUAGCUAGUGUCAAGUUAGUCCACAUGGUAUGGUUCUGACUGCUGUACAUGAAACGGUUUAUGCAGAUGGUUAUUGAUGGAUUCUCAGCGCCGUUGACUGCAGGAAAUUUUGCAAAAAUGGUGAGGUACUCGAACUCCUCUUUUAGCCUCUGGAAACAAUUGUCUAGUUCAGUUGAUGUUUGGCAUGCUGUGUGUCGAUCAGGAUGUGGGAUACAAAUGAGUAAAAGUUCAUAUAUGUACUUUACUUGUUUUAGUGUUCAAUCGGUUUUAUUUCGUCUCAACAUACGGUUGCUUAGUUUUAUAUGGGAUAAAUGAAAUGAAAUAUGGUUAAACGAAAAAAAAAGAAAAAAGAAGUGAAGAAAGCAGCAUGCCGAAGAUGUUUCCUCUCAUUUAACGGUGAAAGCAUGGUUAAAAUUAGCUUGAUGGAAAAAAAUGCUGCAUAGGACAAUACUUAAAGUUAGGUGAAGUAAACUGGCAUACUGCUAAAUAUGUGAUAGCUCUUUAUUCUUGGAUUUCCCACCGGAAAUAGGGAAAAGAAGAAGUUAGUGGUCAGCCAUUUGGGUAUUUUAUCUAUUGUUUCAGCUUUUGAGGCAGAAUCCAGACGGUUUAUAUGAGUUUGCUUUUCCCAUGGCCUUCAGUUUGGAGUUUUACAAGUCAACGCUUCUAUAAUGGCAUCGGGAUGGCUGAUUCAAAAUCAAUGAUAUGCACAGAAUUCCCAUUUGUUAUUCAUAAGUGUUGAACUUAGUAAUAUGUUCAAUAAGCCAUAUUUUUCUUUCCAUAGGGAGUAUUAGUGUUUCAUAUUUGCGAUCAAACUCUCGACAGUAAGCACCAACAUCCUGUUGGAAGAUUCACAAUUGCGUCAAAAUCUGUAGGUAGUUGAUGGAGCAUAUGAUGGGGCAAAGCUCAGUUGUGCCAACCAAGCUGUCCUCACAGAUAGUGGCAUUGAUAAGAGCACUGGCUUUAGAAUUCCUUUAGAGAUAAUGCCAUCUGGGCAAUUUGAACCAUUGUACAGGACAACAUUAAGUAUACAGGUAAUAACGUCUCUUCUUCCUCCUUAUUUUAAGUCUGUUAAAACUGACAAGAAUAUUUCUUGGUGGCAUUGAAGGAUGGUGAGUUGCCAGUUCUUCCUAUGUCUGUUUACGGGGCAGUAGCAAUGGCGCACAGCGCUGACUCUGAUGAAUACUCUUCGCCUUCCCAGUUUUUCUUCUAUUUGUAUGAUAAAAGAAAUGUGAGUAGAGUUGAGCUAUAUUCAAUUGGAACUCAAUGAUUAUAAAAUGAUUAGGUGUCCUUAUGUGUUCACAUUUUGGUGGUGUAGUCCGGGCUUGGAGGUAUAUCUUUUGACGAAGGGCAAUUUUCUGUUUUCGGGUAGGUAUUUAAUCCUUUGAGCUUUUUCCUUGUAAUGCAGACCUGAAGAUUUUUAAUUUGGACAAACAUUUAUAUCCUUGUCUAACAAGGCUCUCUGUUUGGCAGCUACGCAACUACAGGGAGAGAUAUCCUUUCACAGAUUAAAACAGGAGACGUUAUUCGAUCUGCAAAGCUAGUGGAAGGCCAAGAUCGCCUCGUAGUCCCUAGUGAAAGCUAACCUGCUUGUUUUUUUAACCAAGGAAUGGAAUUGUUCACAUACGAGGAUUCAUACCUUUGCCCUGUUUUAUAUCAGAUGUCUUGUUGGAACCCUUUUGGCUGUAAAAUGCAAGAAGUCAUUGUUUGUCGUGUUACCAUCAUGCUUUGGGGCAAUUGCUUUGAUCGAAUUUUGUCGUAAUUCUAGAACAGUCUCCAUUCAUCUAGAUUUCAUUAUCACUCUUCAUCGUAUAAGUUGUGGCCAUCUCACAACCUCAUAUUUUCAAAGUUUCAGAUCUCAUGUUACGAAAAACCAGUUAUGAAAAAGAAUAUUCCGUGCUCAUCCUAAAUUUUGCUAUUCGCUGGAUGUAAUCCACCUACAAGAAGACAAGUCUUCUUGAGCUGACCUCUCCUUUGAAUUCUUAGUAGCUGGAAGAAAGCAACGUGGAUGUAGUUACAGACCACGUAUUUUUUGGAAAAUUUUAGGGUUUUCUCUGUUGAACUUGUUACAAGAUAGAACAGAACACAUCCACAGUUUGGCUCAUUGUGGUGAUUAGAUAGUGACAUGAAGCAGGUCGAGCUUCAGCUGAAACCGGAAGAGAGAUGAUACCCAAGUCUUCCAAUGCCCUCUAAACAAAUGAUCCAUGUGUGCCCAAUCUGGCCUCAGAAAUUUGAAUGGCUAACAUAAAAAAAAGAAGGGGGGAAAAAUAGCAGAAAAUCCGCAGGAUGAGGAGAUUUUUGGGAUGCAAUCUUUCUCGCCCACAUAAAUUUGUGGGAGCAAAUUUCUUUUCAUGUGGGUCCACAUAUGACAAGGGACCUUGAAGGGGACGAUGGAAAUGUCAGGCUCUCAUUGGUUUGAAUCUUGGAUUUUGCAAGCCAUGGUUGGUUCUUCCUCUCAAGUUGGAGAAGAAUCUCUCUCUGUGCAGCAUCACUGCCCCACCAAAAUUAUAAGUCGGUCAAUCUUAAUUGUUUCUGAAUUUCCUGGUUCCACCCACCACGGUAAUCGGCUAAAUUACAUAGGAUCAGGUUCCAGUUCUUUUUUUAUUGUUCUGCUCAUUGUCUGAAUCUCAGAAUCUACUCAUCUGCUGAGGUGGACAUCGUCGACCACGUAGCAGAAAGCUGCUCUGCAUCCCAGCCUAACUCCAGCUCCAUACACCAGCACCUCAAAACCCAAUCACCCUUCAAAUCAAAACUUUGACUUUCCUUGAUUUCACCAAGUCAACUCAUCCCAUGGCUCAUCUCAUCAGGAGCCAUCGCAAAGCACUUUAGACCUGCCCACAGUAAAACCAAACCCACUGCAUGCAAAAAAAAUUUGACCACAUAUAUAAUCCCACCCUAUCUCCUUCUCCAGAACUUGGAGAAAAUCGCAGAACUGAGUCGAGAAUUUACUUCCAACUCGGGUCUCUCCCAAACUCAUUGACCCGCAGCCAUCCAUGGCUUCCAUCUCCCCGCGAAGCCUCCUCCCUCUCCCGAAAAUGGGCCCGAACCCACUUCACCCUCCGUCUCUUUCCCCCGCCAAGCUCGCAAAGCUCCCGCCUUUCCCGCGGAACAGGCCGAGGCUCGGCGGAUUGAGGCUCGUCGCCAACUCGGUCGUCGAGGAGUUCGACGUCAUCCCGGUGCAGAGCGGGGACAGCACGGACCAGCAGGAGGGCUUGUCGGUGAGCCUGGAGAGGGCAGGGGAGGCGGCCGAGCUGGUGAGUCAGGUGGGUGGGUUCGCGACGAGCGAAGGGCAGUUCCCGUUCGAUGGGUUCUCUUCGGCGUCUUCGGGCGCUUCGUCGUCUUCGAGCGGAGUUGAGAAGGACGGAAGCGAAGGGAUGGCGAGGUUGAUCGAUCGGAGUAUCAAUGGGAUGAUCGUGUUGGCCGCCGGUACUUAUGCCAUCACCAAGUUGCUCACGAUUGACAGCGAUUAUUGGCAUGUGAGUGGAUUCGCAUUGGUUCGUCAUUCUUUUUGUUAUGUAAUUUGGGUGAUUAAUUGCCGUGAAUUUGAGUUAAAUUUGAAUCUUUCUGCCAGUUAUAGGAUAGACGGAAGGAUGCAGAGCAAUUCUUUGGUUCUGUGAAUGAUUUUAGUGCAUUUCUUGUUGAGGUAUCGUUGAUUUGCGGAUUGAGUUGUUUGGUAGAGCUAUCUUUUAUGGGGGUUCUGUGAAUGAUGUUAACUCAUUGUUAUGAUCAUGAUUUUGUAAGAAUUGUCUGAGCCGAAAAGCAUGGAAUUGGAAAUUGACUUUGAUGUGGAAGCAUACGAGUAAAUGGAGCCUCGAACAGAAGAACUUAAGCUGGGAAUUGGUAGCAUCCUUAACAUGUGGUUUGAAUGGAUUUGUGCUCUAUAUAAAAAUAUUGUUGAGUAGUGCUCUAUGUAGAAAUUGGUUGCCCUCAAGUUGACACUUGAUGAGGAUAAAAGAAAUGACAGCCAAACUGGAGUUAUCUGGAUGAUGAGAAGUCUAUGGUUUCAUGAUAUAGCUUUCUGGAUGAUGAGAAGUCUAUGGUUUCAUGAUAUAGCUUUAUCAAGCACCUUUCUUCAUCAUAGCUUGAUCCAGUGUGAGGCAUGUGAAAUUAGUGAUCAGUUGUCUUUUCAUUUAAUUCUUUAAAGGUGCUUGGAAAAAUCUCUCUUUUCUUGACCUUUGUGCAUUGCCUACUAAAUACCGAGAGAGGAUCUCAGAUUUGAGAACGAAUCUCAUUUAUCACUAUGUUGGGUUAUAAUUGUCUGUUCAUGCAACUUAUCAUGAUGAUGCGUCUUGUUGAAUUGCUUUUGGUGUGCUUCUAGGGAUGGACUAUUUAUGAGAUAGUGCGGUAUGCACCUCUACACAACUGGAGUGCUUAUGAGGAAGCUCUUAAGACAAACCCUGUUUUAGCCAAGAUGGUUAUUAGUGGAGUGGUAUACUCCGUUGGGGACUGGAUUGCACAGGUUUGUUGCCAUCAGACAAACUUGAGAGUUUCAAGCUUAAGAUACCGGGCUUCAUUCUACAAUUGCUGACUUGUAACUUUUGCAGUGCUUUGAAGGAAAACCACUCUUUGAGUUUGAUAGAACACGGAUGUUCAGAUCGGGCCUUGUUGGAUUCACACUUCAUGGGUCUCUUUCUCACUAUUACUAUGAAUUCUGCGAGGUAAUUGAAAUUUUCCCAUUUUACGUUAAAAGAGUAUUUCUUUCCACCGUUGUGUGAGCUCCACUCUUUUUUUUUUUUUAACAGGAGCUUUUUCCUUUCCAAGACUGGUGGGUGGUACCUGUCAAAGUAGCGUUUGAUCAAACAGUGUGGGCAGCGAUUUGGAACAGCAUAUACUACACUGCUUUGGGUUUCUUACGUCUAGAAUCCCCAAUCAACAUAUUUACUGAGCUGAAAGCAACUUUCUGGCCUAUGUUAACAGUGAGUAAUCCUAUCCUUGGUUGUUUGUUCUUUUUUCCUCAAGUUGGUGGCACAGUUGUAGAAAGAUGAAUCUGAUCCAACCUACUCUCAUUCUGCUGAGAGGAGUUGAACACUUGAGAUAAUGAAUCUUUUAAUUUGUUGAAGCUACUGUCUUGUUCAUCUAGUGAACUCAUCAAAAAUCCAAAUAAGCGGUUGAAGUUUGAGAAAAGGAAAACAGAGACAUUUUCCUAUUCCUUAAUCUUAUGAGAAAAGCUUGCCUGCUUACAGUUUUUUUUUCUCAUUAGCAAUCUGGGCUAUAAUUGAAUUUCCUUGACUGAGACCUGCAGCUGUCGUGCCUUGCCCAGUAUGCUUACUUGUUUCAUGCCUUUUCUCCACAGGCUGGGUGGAAGCUUUGGCCAUUUGCUCAUCUGAUUACCUACGGUGUGGUCCCAGUGGAACAAAGGCUUCUUUGGGUGGACUGUGUUGAGCUCAUAUGGGUGACAAUCCUCUCAACGUGAGUUUUAAUUAUAUAGACUCUGACUCGAUUAAGGCUGGAUCAUCAUAGUCCUGUGAUAAGAAUUAUUUAGUUUGUAAAUUACGUCCUGCAUAGGGUGUAGUGUUGGAAGUAGCGCUCUAUUUUAUAGCUUAAAAACGUGGGUCUGAUAGGGAGACAUGCCUAUAGCACGUAGUGAAUCGUAGGGUUGGUUUGUUUGAAGUAAAACUAUUUCCAAGAAAUUGUUUUCUAACUUUUUGGUUUUUGGAUAACAGAAAACUAAUCAGUCUAAGGAAAACGUUUUCUAUGGACUCAAAACAACAAGUUUAGAUUGGGGGAAAACAACUUCCCAUUUUGGCAAAAAGGAAAUCACUUUUCUUAAACCACCAAAUGAAUGAAAAGUAACCAUAUUCCUUGAAUUUGAUUUUCAUGGAAAAGAUUUUCAUUUAUCAUGAAGUUUUUAGUGAAACAAAUAUCACCGUAAGUUUGGUUUGAAGAGUGUCCAUCUGCAUUGCCAAUUUGCUCAAAUGGUCAUUAUUUAACUGGUACUUGUUCUUGAAGUGGUGACUCCGAUGAAUUUUGAUUGCUCAGUUGUGACGCUUUAGCAGACUUGUCGAGACUUUACAGCCUAGGUCAUUGCCCUAUUUGCUGCUUAUAUGUUACCCCAGUUCUAUACCAAUCUUUGUUGGUCUCUCUCUCUCUGUAGCUAUUCAAACGAAAAAUCAGAAGCAAGAAUCGCUGAGGUUCCAGCUGAAGCCAAUCCCGGCGCACAGUCGCUAAAUCCUCCCGAGGUAAAAAGAAUCACCAUGGUGCAUUUGUUUUAGUGGACAGGAAAAGGCCAUCUCACACUCUGGAAAAUUUCCGCGUUUACAGGAGCGAUAGGUGUUGUAACAAGCAGAAACAGUAGUCUUGAGGACGCAUCUAUUUUUCGAACUUGGCCACAGUGGGAGAGAGAGGAAUCUUCCUUAGCAAUGGAACACACUCGUCGACAGAGCAAUGGAAAUGCGGGUCUAGAGUUAUCAGAUUAUCGAUGAUGUACAUGGGUGUCAGAGAUCUUAAGUAUAUAGUUCCUAUAUCACCAUCCUCCUUUCUUAUGCUCGUGUAUAAAAUUUAUCAUUACGUAAUUAUCUCUAACUUCACAUUGCAUUAUUCUUACAUAGAGAGAAAAAGGAAAUAAAUAGAAACCCAUCCCGAUGAGUAUUGUAGGAAUUUCUGCUUGCAGAGCCACAUUUUUCUCUCUGUGUCUCUGGUUUUUCUUACCCCAUCUGCUUGUCCUACCACAUAACUGCACGAAUAUGCAGAUUAUCAGUAAAUAUUCAAUCGAGCACUUUCGACACAAAGAUCUUGCAAUGGAUCAAGUGGUUGUGAUGUGGUCGUAUUCAAGUGUCCGACAGGAACAGGAAUUUGUCAUCAGAGCGAGUCUGUGCAAUCACAUGUGCUUCUAUGGGCCACUUAUGUAUUUGUGGCAACGUACCCACUGUAGCAUGUUCAUCGUUUCUUUUGCAGGCGCUGCCUUUUAGAUUUCUAUCUUAUUUUGAGGCUUGUGUUGGGGUAACUAGCCUGUGUUACUAAAGGCUUUUCCAUCUGAACGAAGUAAAGAAAACCGACCAUUGGCUGACUAUUAAACCUGUCAAAGAGGUGGGUCCGAAAAUGGUCUGACCCAGAUUGGUCAUAUUAAAAUCUAUUUUGAUCCAUUUCAAUAUAAUACAAAUCUAGUUACUCAUACUAGAUCCAAUCCAUAUCUAACCAAUAUUAUUAAAAUGCUUUCAUAUGAAAAAUGAGGUGAGAACAUGAUUUAUCUUUAAUAAUUCAACCUAUUAAGUAUGGAUUAAUAAAUAGGUUUAUGUCUCAUUUUGAUAGGUCUGGUCGACUUCUAGUGAGGGAGAAUUUUUCGCUUGGAUGCAAGUCCAAUGGAUUGGAUCAACCAUGUCCAUUAUGGGGAUGCCACGUGGGCCAUAUUCCGUGGGCUCCAUAAGAUCAUCUUGAUUACACUUGGAAUCAUUCGCUGGUGGUCAGGAAUGACUGAUUUUCUUUAUCAGCCUUUUCGACCUUGGUUUGUAGGAGCGAGUCACUAAAAUUGAGAUAUAUAACCACUCGUUUUCAGUAGCCAUAAGAUGUUCAUCUUAGGGCAAUCAUUUGGUUGACGGAUGUUCUUAUUACAUUCGUAGUCUAGUCUCUAAAGAAUGAAAGUCACUUGUGUAGCAUCCACAUUGAGUAUUUAAGUAUUGUAUAUGUCAUUAGAACCUAUUAACUAACAUGGGUCCAUAUGCCGCGAUUAGGUGGAGGUGAGGUUGGCAUAUUGAAAAAAAAAAGAUAUAUGAAGAUUUUCUUUUUACACGAGCAAACUGGUCAAUUUGACAACUAUCCAUUAUUAGUACUUGAAAUGGCUAAAACAUAAUGAGAUUAUGUGCUCACCAUUCUUACACACUUUUUUUUUACUCAAAAAAUUACCAAAAUAAGUCAUGAAUCAAUUGUGUGGAUACAAAUUCAAUUAUAAACAUUUUAAUGUAGCCAAUUGAAUUAAUUUGUUAACAUAGUCAUUUUAAUCAAUUUUAGUUGGCAAUCACUGAUAUGGAUGUUAGACACUGAUGUAGAAAAAAUUUACAAUUUUUUUUUUGAAUCUUUCAUUUCUUUUUUAAUUUCUUUCUUUUUAUUUUUGUGGCGCUAACGUGGACAAUUUUCUUUUUUAUAUUAUUUUCUAUUGGGCAAAGGUGACUCACCCAAUAUAAUUUAGAAUAUUUUUUAAAGAUGCAAAAAAUUGUCCAUGUUAAUGCUAAUUGGAACCAUAUCACCCAACUAAAGAAUCACAUUGAUAAGGCGUUAAAAGGUUUAAAAUUAAAUGAAUUAAAUUAAAAAUUUUAAGAUCAAAUUAAUAGAUGUACAAUAAGAAGUUUGAGGAUUUCUUCUUUCUCUCUCUCUCUCUCUCUCUCUCUCUCUCAGGCACCCUUAUGGCGUUUUUCAACCCAAAACUAAAUUUAUUAAGCAAUAAUAACAUUAUAAUUUAUGAAUUUGACUCAAUAUGCAAUAUAGCAUUUUAAUUUUUUUUAUUGGUUCAAUGCGAUCCCCAAAAAUUUUGCUCAAUGUCUAGUAUCGUCCAUGAAUUUUUUAUUUAUUUAAUGUGAUCCAUUAAUUUUUUAUACAUGUUCAAGCUAGUUUAUAGACUAUAUGAAAGUAUCGAAUAUUAUUUUUCCAUUAACUCAAGUUCAAUGACAACAUUGAAAAGUUUUAUAUGAUUCAAUGGCUAAAUUGAACAUGUAUGUAAAAUUUAAGAAUCACGUUAAACACAAUGAAAAUUCAUAAAUGACCUGCAUAAUGGACUAAAGUUCAUAAACUACAUUAAAUAAAUUAAAAGUUCAAAGAUCACAUUGCACAUUGAGUCAAAGUUUGAGAAUCAUGUAUAUUAUCUUUCCAUUUAAAAAAAUGCAAAUUGUUCAAAUCAGCAUCGACUGACUUCCACACCAUUAGUUUCAGCCCAAUACUUGCCAAAAGAACCAUAUUGGCAAAUUGUCGAAAAGGUUUGAGACUAAAUUGGCUAAAUUGAAAAUUUUAGAACUGAGUUGAUAUCUGCAAAAUAAUGUUAGGUUUUUUUUUCUUUUAUUAUUAUUAUUAUUAUUAUUAUUAUUAUUAUUAUUAUUAUUAUUAUUAUGUUGAUGUUGUAAUUAACUCACUUUCAAUCCGAAUCUUACUUUUGAUCUCAUUCUUUGUUUCCAUUACGACGUUCUCUUUAGGGUUGAGUAUAGUUCAAAGGCAGAACCGGGAACCUAAAAACUGAAGCAGUUGCGGGUUCCAGGAUAUGCAGAGUAAGUUUCAAGUUUUAAAAAUCGGGGAACUUAUUAUGAUGAAUAAGUUCCAGUUCAAAGUGGAACUAAUAACCAGGAACUUAGAAAAAGUGUUUAUGUUUUUCUUAUUUUAUUUUUUCGCGCAAUUCUGCAGUAAAUCAUGACGAAUGAUUAGUAUGUAAUCUAAAACCAUUAAUUUGAGCUUCCGUUUUCGAUAAUAUCUAAGACUUGGACUUUUAUUUUGUUAAUAUUUUAUAAUCUUCAUGUAUUGUAAUUAGUGGAUUGUAGCAAAUGGUAGUCAAUAGAAGUGAUAAUUCACUGCAAUUAUCCAAUUAAAAUUACAAGCGGAAAUUGAGUAAAUCUUUGGACUUGUAAUAGAGUAGAUUCCAGAUUUUAAAAUUAGGGAAAUUAUGCCGAAUAGGUAGAUUUCAAAUUUCAAAUGAAAUCUAACCUGAACCCUAGAACUGUUGGCCCCUAAUUCUCUUUCUCGGCUCUUUGGGCACAAAUCUGGCCAUUCCUUCCCAAAAGUAAAUUUUUUUAAGUCUCAUGGUUUAUCCCCUAAUUGCUUUUGACUUGUAAAGUCCGCAAUCCUUUGCCCUUCAUAGAUUGCGUCAUCCUUUACGUCAUACGACAUUAAUUGCCGUAUCACGUUGCGCCCGACUGACGAGAUUCAAACGUGGGCCUGAGACUUGAAUAACGAGAUUCUUGAAAAAUCCACGAUCUCUCCCGAUCGAGCCCCUAAGCACUUAUUGAUCCAAGUUGUCAUAAUUCCUCGAAAUUAUUAGGUGUUUAGGUGUUCUUGAGAUACUCUCUUCCUCUCACGUGCGUGGACGGUGCAAGGGUUGAAUCGAAUUCUAAUGCCGUUCAAAAACGCUAUAGCUGAGACUAGGGCUUGAUGGUCCAUAAGCCGGUCCAUGUAUAGUUUAUAGAUUGCAUUACUCUUCUUCUGGCUUCAAGAAUCAUCAUGCCUUGCCAACUCUCUUGUACUCUAACCGAUCGACAAAAGAUUGAAAAAAAAAAGAGAAGGGAAAGAAGGAGAAAAAAUCUAACACAGCACACAGCGACUUUAUGAUGUCAGUUACUACGUCAUUAGGGGCAUUCUUCGAUAAGAUCUACUAAUUUAGAGUGCCAUUUAAGAAUCCAAUUUCCCUCCCUUUUGUGUAUUAACGUAAACAGGAUUUACGUCUAGAUCUGAACCACUGAAGACGUGCGCGAAUUCGAUAGCCAUCCUCUCGAAUCAGCGAUCGACAGGGCCGUCUCCUCGAAUCAGCGAUCGACAGGGCUGUACAUCCCGACUCGCGAAAGUCAUGUGAGGAUCACGACUUUCGACUCCUACACGAUAGUUACGUGCAAUUCCAGUAGAGUAACCUUGAUAGGUUGAAUUACGGCCUCGCGAUACGUAUACAAUGGCCAUGUCUAGUGUCCUUGAAUGGGAAUUGUUGAAAACGUAGUGCAUUCCUUUUCUAUUUUGUGCACGAAUAAAGGCCAAUUUUUUUUUCUUUUUAAAAAUCUUUCGCAUUAUAAAGGGAAAAUUCAGAUCUGGGUGGGGGUGGAGUGGCUUGUAGGGUUUGAUGGGAAAGCAUCCUUUCAAGAGGGAGAGAGAUCGAGAAAGAUAAUGUGGCACAUAGCGACGCUAUCUACAUACCAAAACUAAGUAAUUAUGAUAAGGGAAAACUUGUAAAGUUAUUUUGUACUCAUGCCCUAGAAAGGGUAAUGGGAUUUAAUUAAAGGGGUCAGAUUAGUGUGUGGUGUUAAGUUAAUGAUUCCCUUCUGGUGAUGCCCAGAUGGACCCCAGCCCUCGGUCAGCAGCACACAAGAGGAAACCCACUUAAUUGUAUUGAGGCUAACACCACCCCCUCCCCCUCCAUCUUGUCAAUUCAUGCGAAGUGUGCGACAUCUACUAGGUCGUGGAAUAUACUUAACCAUGUCUUAUCAGAGUCCAUGAGCGACAAUGACUCCCAAAAAUCCAAUAUCUCCCCGUUUCUAUUUUCCUCUUUUCCUCUUUUCUUUUUGAGGAUUUUUCUUUUGGGGCGUGAUGAGAUCGAGGAGAGAUGAUUCGAUAACGUAGCUGAAAUCGAGGUUCUCUGCUUCUAGGGCGUGAAGGGGUAGGUGGGAUCGAGUUCGUACGUUCUCGUUCAAAGUCUCGGGACCCUUUCGGUUUAAAUAAUAUUUCUGCUGGAAUAAUGUAGGCUGCUAAAUCUGCCAGAUGAUCAUUGCGCUGUUCAUCGUUUGGUCAGCGAAGCAGCUCGGUCGUUGAAGACCUAAGGACGUCUGAUCUAAGGAGAUGCUCAAAAGAUCUUCCCAGAAUCGCUUUUCCUUUUCACCUUUGGAACGUGCUUCGUGUCUCUUUAGCUUUCUAGUAAAAAGUCAGUUGAUCAUCCUCCUUUCUAAUUGAAAGAAAAAUGCAGGGAGGAGUAGGUAGGGUUUAACUUUACAUAUAUGAAACGGGAAGAGAGGAAAAAAAUAAUGAAAAGAAAGGUUACGGAAACCUUCGAUUAGACCUUAGACCUUACAAUAGAGACAUUGUACGGUAUGACAUAUUCUAAGAUCAAAUAAGAAAAUGGGUAUUCGUUCUUCCAUGUCAAAUCUUGCAGGUUUCAUCAGGAUGACCGGAUGAUGAAGAUUACUAUGGCAUAAACACGUCACGCGUGUAUUGUAUAUUGGCCCACAGCAUUCACGUUGUGAAUAAUACUUCUUUUUGUAUUCAAUCCCACGUUGCUAUCAAUCCAGGAGUCACAUCCAACCAUACCGAUGAUUCUCAUCGAUAAUCAUCUUAUUGACAUCAUUAUCAGUCUAAUAUCCACCUGUUGAUAUCGAGCCGGGAAAACCUAUAGUUCCAUAUAUCCUAGGAGUCAAUCGAUGUAACUUAGCAGCCUUUGCAAUCCUCGAAUGAGAUUUGAUGGUUUGAACAUUAGCUGUCGAGAUGCGAUUAGCUGCUUGUGAGAAGAAAUGGAAUGCACUCUUAGGUGUUAACUACGCAGCUGCAGCUCUUCGAGGCCCCCCUUGGCUCUUCCCCAAAUAUCCUUUGCUUGGUCAAACUAAAGUUUCUUUUCAAUGAUUAUAGCAGAAAGAACGUGCGACGUAUAAGAUAAUCAUCUCUUGACUUACUAGUUACAAGCGUCUUCUAGGGUUUAUUUGAAAGAUAACAAAAGGCACCCUUAAAUUGUAACAUGUCGCUUAGACUCGAGGAUGAUAAAUAUCUCGAUGAUGCCUUUGUCACUUGAUAAUCUAAUAGCACAUAAAUACGCAAGUAAAAUCAUGUAUAGGGAUUUUAAAUAUAAAGGAUCGUCCAUUGCAAUAAACGACGCUCAAAUAUAUUAUCAGGGCUCUAUACAAUCAUUUCUGGCGGUGCAGUAUCCUAGAGCAAAAAUACUAAUGAUUCAUCUACUUUAUUUUUCUACAUGAGGAUCAGCUAUGUCCUUGUUUCGUAUGAAUCACCCUCCUAUUUGAAUUCAAUGCCUCUAUACACAUAGAAGAAACCCUAAAAUGUGAAAAUAUACAUUCAUGUAUAUGACCCUAAUUGUAAUAUGCUUCUAUUGGCCUCGCCUGAAAUUGGAAGCUCCUCUUAUACCCUCUUCCUCCUAGAGGAAUUUCUCUGGGGGCCACUCACUUAGUCUCUACACAUGCACCAAUCCAUACCUUCACAGUUUUGUCAAACUGUAGCACCAUCUUGUUAAUGUGGCGAAGAAACUUUCACCUUAACAUAGCUAUGGUGAAAUGCCCACCAUCAAAUUCAAGGUAUACGCUGGAUUAAUUAGGCAUACCAAUUCAGUCCUGGCAUGUGGAACUGUGGUCGGAAACCGCCGUCACCGAGAGGCCCAUAUGCCGUUUGCUGGUGCAGCGGUGGGGUUUGAGGAAUCUGGCCGAGCAGAGACGCGAUGGAACUAGUCCCUCCGUUGGUAUUCCUCUCGACGCUCCCCGGAUCGUUCCUGUCCGCACUGAACUGUCUCUUGACCGACGAAGGGUCGCUUGUCUCGGCGGCGACGUCCUUGUCGUUCCAGUAGAGUGAGUGAAGAGUCCGCUUCAGGGGAAGAGGGCUCGAAAUGUUGGGCGCUUGGACCAUGGCCAAUUCUGGCUUUAAGCCCGAGGAUGAUGCAAGGUGAGACAUCACGUUGCCGGGGAUGCAGCCGCCGCCGUUAGCCCCCAUCAUCCCUUCGAAAAGGUUCUGCUCGUGCUCGAACAAUACCCCAUAACUCGUCGUGGACGGCUUAGAGAGGUGUAGCUUCAUGCCGUGAGGGUUCAUCGUCAACGAAGGAGGGAUGGAUUCGAGCAUGUCGUCCAUCGAGUCGUCCCUCUCGUGGUCCAUCGGCCGGUGCACGUUGCUCUUCUUGUAGAUUCGGCAUAACACCCAGUCAUCCAGCUACGGAAAACCAAAUUAAAUUUCGACACGCUCUCGUUCAGUCGCACGCUCCUUAAAUCUCACAAUCAAACCAACCAAAGCAAACGAAACGAAGCAGAUAGGCUCGAUCAUUACCCUCAGGGAAUUUUUCUUGUUGCCCACGUCACAUCCCGGCGGUCUGUUGCUGACUUUGUUCUCGAUGAGACGGUACUCGUGCAUGAUCCAGUUCGUCUUGACGCCCUUCGGGGGUUUCCCACCGUAGAAGACGAGGGCCUUCUUCACGCCGACCUUCUGAUGCCCGACCGCAGACAGCACCGGUUUAUCGGUCCCCGUGGCCUUCCAGUACCCGGACGUCGCCGCCCUGUUCGGCCUCGCCCCGUUCGGGUACUUCCGGUCCCUCGGGGUGAAGAAGUACCAUUCUUGCUCGCCAUACGUCGCCUUCGCUGAGAAAUGAAGAAAAAGCGAAAGAAGAAUAAAAAAGAAAAGAAGAAUAAACCCAAGUGAGCGACGAUGAUCUUUUCCUCUGCUCCGUAUAAACUGCAAACAUCUUCUGUUCCUUUCUCGUACGUAGAAAGGGGGCUAAAAGAAUUCACGAGGCUCAGACUCGAUCACCACCGACGGUAUAUCUCGUCGACAUGUAGUCUCUCACGAACAACUGCACUGUCGACCCGAAAGACUGUAUCGAACAGCCUCCUCGUUUAUGACGAGAAGCCCGUGCUCGGGUCCAUCGAAAAUAUCUUCAUAGAUUUAAUGUCUCGACACCGAACGAUUCGACAGUAGAAAAGGAAAGGAAAGGAAAAGCAAAAGAAAAGAAAGAAAAGGAUAUGCUCCCCUCACUGGGUAUUUUACCUGGAAGCUCCCAGGGAUCGAACUUGUAGAUAUCGACCUCGGCGAUGACGGAAACGGGGAGCGGCGACGAGGCCGCCUUCUUCUUGAGGUAGUGGACGACGAGCUCCUCGUCGGUCGGGUGGAACCGGAACCCCGGCGGCAGGUGGGGCUGCGCCGCCGACCCCGCCGAUGAGUCCGUGCUCUCCAUGAACGAACCCCCCGAUAAAGCCCCCUCCCCCCGCUGCUACGAACUCCGAUCACCCAAAACCCACUCAGAAUUCACGAAGCGAAUGAUCAACGAGAGAACACACGAGAGAGAGAGAGAGAGAGAGAGAGAGAGGAAAUGAGAAUGUGAGCGUGAAGGUCUUUGGCUCGGCUCGUCGAAUAAAUGGGAGGUGAGGAGGAUGGCGUGGGGAGGCGCUCGAGCCGAAGGGCGCUGGGGCGGGCUGCGAUCCCGUACGCCCCCGCCUACGUGGAGCCCGCUUUGAGGAGGCCAAUGGGUGCCCGACACGCCGACACGCCCGCUAGAUGGUCGGUCAAUUCCGCGCGCGGAUUUUACGGAAAUGGCCCUGCAGCGGCUUUUGCCCAAACCAUGCAGCGGCCGACGUGGACGUGGGGCGGCCGGAUCAGUGAAACCGAGGCCGCGCGGGUCGCUGACGUCAACCGGGGGGGCGAGGGCCUCCGGAGGGUCGACACGUGUCUCGGGAACGGGCGCCAGGGGUCGACACGUGUGGGGGGGCGAGGGGGGGUGGGGCCCGCGCGGGGACCAGCGCCCCCGCCCCCGCACAAGGCAACAAGACCAGCAGGAUAAUAAAGCGGGGCGGGCGGGGGGGAGGGGUGGGGUGGGGCCCGCCGAUGUCAUGCCUUUGGUGUGCAAAAAGGAAAAGCACCCAAAAUGUCAAAGGCGGUAAGCAUGUGUUAACGGCUAAUAUCGAUUGGCCGCUUUUCAGUUUCUUUGCCCCUCGGUGUCGCUAAUUUUCUCCUCCGAGAAUAAUGACAUUAUUUUUCUGUCGAGUUCUUACAUGCUUACGUAUAUUUAAUUCGCACAUAUUAUAUGCAUAUCCAUAUGUAAAAUGACCACUUGCGGCUCCAAAAUCAAGCGUGACUACACCUUUUUGCAUAUCUAAUAAAUAUAUAUCGCCCUUUCAUUAUUAGGUUCUUGACUAAGACAAAGAUGAGCAUAUGGGCUCGUGAUUUUUUUUGAGGAAUCUGUCGUUUAGCUCAAAAUUAUAUUCAGCACUUGUGUUGAUUUAUGAUUUGCCCGAUUUUAUAUUCAAUGGAGUUGACGACUGAUGAUGGGAUGAUGAUGGCUAGAAUUAAAGUUAUUGAAUGACGAAGAAAUUAGGAUUUCCAUUUGUUUCUUUUUUCCUCUUUAGUCUUACGAAAAAAGGAAUGGUAAAGGUCAACAAAAACUUUAAAAUAUAUUUAUCCUAACAAAUUUGCUAAGACACUAAAAAUCCCAAACUUAUAUCAAUGUAACACAUUUACCCGUCAUCAAACUUAUAAAACUGUUAAGAAUUACCUACAUGAAUGCUUAAAAGUAAACAAUAUUGAUAUGGCGCUCACGUGGCUAAAAAAUCAGUUAAUAGAACUUUGAUGGAGAAUAAAUAUGACAAAUGUGUAAAAACUUUGGGAUUUUUUAUGUCAUAAGAAAAAGUUUAAGGUAAAUGUGUCACAAUGAGUAUAGUUUAGAGUUGUUAAUGUCAAAAAAAAAUUCUGGGUAUAUGUAACACGGUGGAUAUAGUUUAGAUUUUCUGUAACUUUUUCCGAAAAGAAAUAGAGUAAUAUUGCCUAGUUUCUAGAGAACCAGUCUUCCAAGUACAUGCGUAUUUUCUCAUAACGCAAUAAUUUUGAGCUCUAAGAUAGGAAUGUCAGACAACUCAUCUAAAAAAAAAUUCUUAUGCGUCACUUCUCUUUCAGGGUACAUAUUCUGUAGCAAAUCGAACCAUAUUUUUUAUCCUUUACCCGAAACUCCAAUUGAUUCAAAUGUUCUUGUUUCAUGUUUCGUGAGAAUUUUUCCCCACCUUUUGUAAACAGAGUUUUAAAACUUUUUUGGGACAAUUCUAAAUGACCGCCACACACGCACACGCAUAUAUAUUUUGUGGACAUAAAAUGUCAUCCUCGGAAAAUAUUUACAAAAACAUUUAAAAAAAAAUAUGGCAUGUUUAUUCGAUAUUUCGAUUCAGAUAACAUCCACAAACCUACACAAUCCACCCUACUUUGGUAGGCUUAGUAGCCUGGGAAGUUACUUUCAUUAGGAGCUGAUAUGAUUCGAACACAAGACAUGCCGCAUUUAAAUCGGGAUUUGAUCACUCAACUAGACCUUUUUUAGAUUAUUAAGUACGCACUCCUCAACAAUUUUGCUCGCGUAAAACAUGGAAUGGGUGGAAAUCCAUCCUCAUAAGUGUUUACAUACCACUAAUAUGGUACCUAGCAUGGAUGACUGUGUCUUGCAUCGUUUUCAUUUGCUUUGUUCAUAACCAUAAUGAUAAAUAUGUUUACACAUAUACAUACCCAUAAUGCUCUCUCUUUAAAAAGAGCAGAAGAAAAAGUCACUUUAAAACCCUAGAAACAUCGAUAUGGCAAAGGAAAGGAAGGGUGCAUGCAUUUGACAUCGAAAGUCGAAUACGUUGAAUUCUCACGUGCCUGGUCGAGAAAUUCUCAUUUGGGUGGAUUCAUGAUUUAAUAAACGUUGAAAUUCCCUCUCGGAGAGUGAAUGGAGAAUGAUAUUACUCCAAGUUGCCCUCUUAAUUAAUUGUCUAAUCACCUAAUUAACGUUGUGGACCAAAAAGGAUUAACCUACAACCUAAUCAUGGUUAAGAAAAAGGUGAUUCUCAUCUUCAUUAUUCCAAUCUAGAUCAUAGUGGUACUUGGUGAGAUAGAGUCAUCUCAUCAUCCCAUUUCUGAAAAAUUUAAAUCUCUUUUUUGAAUCGACUUAACGUCACGUGUCUCAUGGGAGAGAUAUGACAUUUAGAAGACCAGAUAAUAUUUUACUUUUUUUGAAAGAAAGAAGAUAUUCUAAAUUUUUUUUGAAGUGAAUAAAGUUCUUUGACCAUCAUACAGAACAUUAAGGAGAAAAUUACCAAAAAAGUCAUAAAUCUAUUGUCGAAUGUCAAUUUAGUCAUAAAUUUUUCAAUUUAAUCAAUUUAAUUUAAGAACUUUUGACGAUUUUUCAAUACAGCAAUUUUGGUCAAUAUUGUUAGGGAAUUGCUAAGCAACAAUCCAAUUGACGUUGGCACUAACAUAGACAAUUUUUGCAAUUUCUUUAACAUUUUCUAAUUUGUUCCCUUUCUUUUCUUUCAUUUUUUUUCUUCUUUUCCUAUUUCCCUCCACCAAUUGCUAGGGUCUCGAUGAUGGCCGGUGGAGAUUACCAGGCGACAGUUGACGAGGGCUUGGGAAUAAAGCUACAAGUUCACAUCUUCUAAUUUAUGUACAAGUUAAGCGACUCGACUUGUGAAGUUAAGAUAACAUAAACAGUUAUUGAGGAUUGCAAACUUUAAAAAGGCCUAUGGAAUGAGCAUGGUACGAUUUUAGAAGAAACUAAAACCUAAAUCAAACCCUCGAUAUAUAUAGAAUAUAUAUUUACUCAUUGAACUCAAUUCCAAAUUGAAUAUUCGAGAUUGUAUUCACAGCAUCAUCAAUAUAAUCAUAUAUCGAAUUGAUGCAUUCAUUAUAUGCAAUUAAAUUUCUAUUCAUUUCACGGGACUUUUCACUGAUUACGUUCAAAUUUAUCGCUCCACUUCGAUCUGUAUAAUUACUUCCGUAAAAACUCUAUAAAGUGAUGUCCAAAUCAACGAUUUCGAAUCAAACCAAGACAAUGAUGAAAAUCCUCCUUUUACCGUUUAUGCUCCUAUUACCCGCCCUACUCAUUGGAUCGUGACAAGGGAGAAUCUUUUCCCGUCCUCAACACGUGUUGCGAUGCCAUAAGAAGACGAGUGAUAUUCGCCCCGCAAGAAAGAGCAAUAAAAUGUGCAAUAUAAGGAUCAUGGACCAAAAUCAAAUUAUUGAAAGUUUAGGAAUCGAGCUUAAAAGAUUAAUAAAGUUGAUGAUUCAAUUGUCAGUUGACGCGGUGGAAACAAUUGAUGAUACGAAUUCUAGAAAAUAAUAAACUCAUAAACAUGAGUCGCAACUUGCAAGCACAUAAACUUGCACAAUAAUAAAGAAAACUCUCUCAAACUCGUUAAUUUAUCAAAAGAGGGAAAAUUUGUCCAAAAAAUCCUAAACCUAUUAUAUAUCGAUCAAUUCAAUCAUAAACCUUUCAAUUGUGUUAAUUUAACUCUAAACCUUUUAACAAUUUGUCAAUUCAGUCAUUUCAAUCAAUUUUGAUCAGAAAUUGCUAAUGUGAUAAUCUGGUCAGUGUUGGCUGGCUUACAUGGCAUGGCCAAUACUAACAUAGAUAAAUUUAAAUUUCUUUUAUGAUUUUUUAAAAUUAUAUUUUGAUUCUCCUUUCCUUUUUCUUUUUUUGAACGUUGGUCUAGCAAGGGUUUUUUUUUUUUGGCCGAAAGCUAGCAAGGGUUAGCUAGUGACUGUCCUAGCCUAGAGUUGCAAAUUGGAGAAAGAAAGAAAAUAAAAUAAAAUAAAAAUUUUAAAAUUUUAAAAUAAUUUAAAAUUAUUCACAUGAACGCCAAUUAUACCAUGUAGACAACCAAUGCUGACUAAACUAUCACGUCGAUGAUUUCUAACAAAAAUUAGCCGAAAUGACUAAAUUAAUAAAUUGUAAAAAAAGGUUAGGACUACAUUGACAAAUUAUUAAAAGAUGUAGGAUUAAAUUGAUAUAAUUAAAAUGUUUAUGACUAAAUUAGCAAGUUAUCAAAAGAUUUAGAACUAAAGCUACGUUUGGUCAUCGAAAUUUGUAACCAUGGUAGGAUCCGAUAAGGCAGGAAUGAAAUAUAGGGAUUUUGCUAUAUCCUAUCCAUUAUUUAGUGAUUUCAAUAAUAGUGUCGAAUUUAUUCAUACAUAUCAUGUACAUUAUUUUGUAUAAAAGGCAUAUUAGUAUAAAUAAGCCAAAAAUUUUACAAAUGAAGAUGAUAGAAAUCUCUCACGACACUCUUACCUACUUUAAUUUAAUUUUAUUUUAUAUUUAAUUUUCCUCUCUUUUUUAAUCAAUUUAUUUGUUAUUCCUUUCUUCCCAUUCUAUCAUUCUCUAAUAAAUUUUAAUUAAAUAGUGAAUUGUACUAAUAUACCUAAAAUACUAAAAUGCGUAUUAAAUAUACCUAAAAUAUGUAUUUAUAUAUUAAUUUUAUAUUAUAAAAUAGAAUUUAAUUCAAAUAUAUAAAUAAAAAUAAGAUUAAAAUAAAAUAAAUAAAUUGUCAUUUUUUGUUAUUUUGAAUUUCUUAUAUUAGAAUUCAAAUAUUAUUUAUAUUUAAAUAUAAUAUUAACUUUGUUCAUUUAAGAAGUUUAUUAUUUGAGAAAAAUAACUUUCCUAUCAUGGAUGUUAAAAAUCACAUUCACCUUUAUUUCACAUCUUUCAUGGGAUAAUUUUAUCUUGUCCAUAUGAACCUUAUAUAUGACUUUAUCUUAUCAUGAGUAAGCACCAAACACAAGAUAAGAUAAAUUUUAUCCUAUCUCGAGUUUUAUCCUAACUGUUAAACGCAGUCUAAAUCAACACAAUUGAAAGGUUUAAAACUAACAACAAAUCUAGAUUUUUUUGGACAAUUAUUCCAAUCGAAAGAGGUAAGUUCUUUCUUUACAUAAGAGAAUAAUACGAAUUUAUACAACCUAAUGUCCUAAAGAAAUCCCAAUAAACCAUAACUAGAAACAUAUUACAAAGAGUGAAUAAGAAAAAAUUAUUAGAUAUAAAUUCAAAUCAGAUAAGUAAUAAAACUAAACAAAUUCACCUAAGAUUCUAGAUGCAAUCUAACAAUCAAAUAUUUAUCUAAAUAAAAGAAAUUAAAAUUAGAAAUUAGUUGGCCCCCAUCGCUAAAACCUCAAAAUUUAGUAUUGUGGAUGAUUUUUUAUUUUUACAAUAUGGAAAAAAAAACUAUGCUUAAAUUAAUGAAAAUGACUCUUUUUAAUAAAUUAAUUAUUUUUUUCAAAAUAUGACCUAAGUCCUAAGAUUCGAGCCCAAGUUUGCUAAAAUGGGGCUAAGCACCCUCACACCUAGGGCUAGAACCCUAGCACUUGCUCAAAGGACAUCUGAGGUCAAGCCUAGGUCCUCCGCUCCCAUGACUAGGAUCCGGUGGCUAGACCAAGAUACCUUGCUACCAUGCUUGAGUCAUUGGUGCUGAUGUCUGGGUCCUUGAGGCCAAGAACGGGCACUAACUCCCAUGCUUGGGUUUAUUGCAGCCUAGAUUGAACCCCUUGAGAUCGAGCUCAAGACCCCCAGCCUAGGUCCAAGAUAGCACCCAUGCCCAAGUCCUCGACAGCUUAGCACUCCUCAUGAACAUGCCCUGGUCUCUAGUGGCCAUGGCGGAGUCUUUCGAGGACGGGUUGGUGUCCCUUGAGCUUGUGCUCAGGCCUAGGUCCUUGGCUCUGGAACUUGAGACUUUAAGAUCAUACUCAAAAACUUUUUUCUCAAAUGCAUAUUUCACAGGUUUCUAACCUAAUAUUAGGAAAAGAAGAAGAAGAGGAAGAGAAGGCUUCCACAUUAUUUGCAAAAUACAAUAAAGGAAAAAUUAGGAAAAUGAAGUCCUUGAAAGUAAUUCCACCAAAAAAAGACAAAAGUGCUUGAGAAUAAGAGUAUUCUCGGGAGACGAAUGGAGUCAAAAAUCGAAGUUGCAUCGAAAUGACUUUUGCACCACGAUCCCAGCAAAGGAUAAUGCGUCCAGGAAAGACAAGGAGGUGGGCUUGGUGCGCAAAAAAUCUAGAGAUGGAGGGGGCGGGGGGAGGAAGGGAACAAUGCGGGAGCGGGUCCCGCUGCUGGCUACGGGAAGGAAAGACCGGGCGGGCCCCACCGGGUUGUCAUAUCUUGUAGUCCAUUUCUUAUCGGCGGGCCCCACCUUACCCCACCAUCUCUCCCCUCUCGCUCUCGUACUAUAGGGAUGGGGGGGGGGGGGGGGGGUGGUAAUGAUGCAAUUUAACAAAAUCAAACACUCUCUAAUGGCGCACCUAACCUUUGCGUCUCCUCGCUGCGCCUCUUUAAUUAAAUCGCAACAACCGCAUUCGACGUCGACCCGUCGGGGGGCGGGUGGUGGGGAUCGCUUCACGGGUUUGUCCGUGACGCACCCACGACGCGACCGUGUUCUCCAUUUUGUACAUUCCUCCUUGCCCCAAACCCUAGACACUCCCCCACUUUGUUUGGCUAGCCGUUCCGCUCCAAGUCGCUAAUUGGCCCGGAGGUGCCCUUCCCUUCAGUCUGUAGAGGUUCUAACUCCUUGUGCUCGAUCGCUGAGUAUGAAUCCAAGGGCCUCCCAGCUAGCUUUUCCUUUUCGAUGUGACGUUAUAACACCGCCUAUGCAUAAAUAAUUAGUUAUAUCAUAAUUCGGGCCGACUUGUUUAAUAGUAUAUCCUGAAUUCGGCAUUACACGAACAAGGCUUGUGAACACUAAUUGACACUCAUAUCUUAAGCCCCUCUUUGUCACAAAGAUGUCACGAUUUGUUAAGACUAUUUAUAUUGGAUAUCAAUUUCCAUCCAUGUGUGACAAAUCUUUACUCAUCUAACAAAAAUGAGAUGUUAUUGGAGAGUGGUAUUGUAAAAAGUUCAUAUCGUACCAAAGUCAAGUAAAUUUGUGUAUGCUAAUGCGCAUGUAGACAGAGGGCAAAUUUCCCUAAAUCUAGGAGCACGUCAAUCGAUUUGGGGUCACUAUGUCUCAUUCUGUGUUUUUUUUUUUCUCUAGCAAUGGAAGAUCCCUAUCCUUCAUUCUAAUUCUUUAUAUACUCCGUCCGACACGGUGAUUCCGCCAAAAGCUCCUCCAUUAUCGCCAGCAUCGAUCUCCAACUUUCACUGUUCGAAACUCCUAACCCUAAAACCUUUCCACUUCCAAAUGGCAAAGCCGGGGGUCCCGAAGGGGUCAAGUCUUUCCCAAUAUCCUCCAACGUGGUUGGCAUGGUACGUGGGCAUCGCUUAGAGGGAUCAAAGGGCGACCCAAUCCCGAUGAUGUCGUCGCGAAUUGCCAACGCACGAAAACAUGUCUGCCGCAUCCUCAAGCCGUGCGCGAUAAUACCGCAGGUCGGAUAAUGCCCUUUUACGUUCGAUGCCGGUCUUUCUCGGGGCGUUAUUGCGCUAAACAUGCAAAUGAGAAAAGACAAGUAUGUCGCUGCCCUAAAGAAUUAAAGUUAGCGAUUAGAAAAAUGCCUCCCACCCAUCGGUACUACACAGGCCCCAUGCAAGAUCUCAUGCUGUGCCCUACGCGAUCUUCUUCGCGUCUUUCCGAUUCUGUGGAUCCCGCGCGACAUCCCCGCCUUCAUUUUAGUAAUUGUAGGGGAUUAUGCACAUGGAUGGACGUUCUUCGAACGGCAAAGUUGCUGGACUUAUUCGAAGUUUAUCUAUAUCCUCUCCCUUGAUAUUUGUAUGUAUGUAUGUAUGGAGAAACAAUUCUAAAACAGCUGGUCUGUUGUCGCUAAAUCCAAAUGACAAGUUGUUUAUGUAUUUAGACUAUUGAUUGAUAACAUUGCAAUUUGAAGCUCACGUUUUAAUGCUUGAAUUGUUAAGGAGAGACGCGCUUUGUAUUUUUAUAUCUUUUCUAGUUGUCUGAUUGGAUGUAUAAUUGUACGGCAAUCAAUUCAUUUUAUCUGCCCCAAAAUCUUUUGUGAGACUAAUAACAGUCUUGUAGAGACAGGUCACUGGCCUCAUCGAUGACUUUUUGUUGGAGCGCGCGAUAGGAUGUGGAACAUUUGACUUUCCCACACAUAUCUUCGACUGUUAUACGGGACAAGCUUACUCGGCCAUCAUUUGUCCUCUUGGUUGCCCACAUUUGAACAUUAUAAAAAUUAAUGCAAAAAGACAAAAAGACCCUCCUAAGCCUCGAGAAAAUUACUAAAAAAAUCCAAGACCUAUUGCAUGAAUGUCAAUUUAGUUAUAAACCUUUCAAUUUAGCCAAUAUAUUCCUAAAUAUGUUAAUAAUUUAUUAAUAUAAGAUUUUUGGCCAAUUUUAACUAACAAUCACUAAUGUAGACAUCAGUUGUCGUGCGGGACACAACCAACGCUGACGAGAACAAUUUUUGCAAUUUUUUGAAAUUUUAUUAUUUUAUUAUUAUUUUUCUUUCUUUCUCUUUUCUUGUUUUUCCUUCUUUCUUUGUUCAUCGAUGGCUAGCAACUUGCCAUAGGCAAGGGUGGGCCAACGAGGCUCAAAUCUUGUCAAGCAGGCAAAGCCUCGCUAGUCUUGCCAAAUUCGGUGAGGGUUGACCUCGCCGACCCUGACCCUUGCCUAUGGCUGCUAGCUAGCCAUAGUGACCAACGAAGGAAGAAUGAAAAAAGAUAAGAUAAGGUAAGAUAAAAAAAAGUGGAAAAUUAUAUAAAAGUUCUAUAAAUAAAAAAAAUUGUAAAAAAUUAUCCAUAUCAAUAUCAUCAUUGCCAUACUGGUAUCCACGUCAAUGAUUGUCAGCCGAAAAGAUUACAUUGGCAUAUCGUUAAAGAUUAAAUUUGCCAUAAUGAAAUGUUUAUAAUUGAAUUGGUAUUUGCAUAAUAUAUGUAUUUUUUUUUUAAUAAUUAUUCCCGUAAACCUCCCUCUCUCUCACUCCCUCCCCCCACGCGCUGGCGUACCAACUGAGGAAGGAGAUACGAGAGAAUGGGCGGGAGAGGGAAGUUGAUUGGGAUUUUAUGUAGCAUGAAUUAAUUUUUUUCUCAUGACCAUCAACCAGAGUCGAAUAGUCGACACAUAACGCAGCCUCAUCAAUGAACGAUUCGACGUUUCGUUACAAGAUCAAUCACAGGCAUGUAAGAGAAGGAAUCUACUUAUAUAUGUUUAUACGUGCAGUUUCCCAUAUGGCUAUAUUUUCCUCCAACCACGUCACUAGUUGGUGACUAAGCAAUUUAUGAACCUUGAUACAUACAAAAUUAAUUAAAUCAAAAUUAAAAGUGAAUGAUGUUCAUGUUUAUAACUCACUAAUAAUCGUACGAAGGGUCAAAUUGAGGAAACCAUAUGGUCCUUCCCGAUUGGGCCUUGUAGUCUCACCAAGUCUAUAACCGGUAUGAUGCUGGACAACUUUUGGGCAUCCAUCUCCCUUCAUAGAAAACGUCAUCUUCUGUCGUACAAAGAUAUGAAUGCAUAGGUCGGACUGAGAUAAAAACGAACAUGUUGAGCGGCCAUCUCUUCUGGCCGUCCAUGUGAGUUGCAUGCUAAAUUAAGUCAAAUGGGAGAUGCGAAACCUACGUCGUAUAAAAUAAGGUACCGGUUGGAUUUCAUACCCUCAUGGUAAGCCUAACUUGAUCUUUAUCGCCCCAUCUCUCGUCCAAGAUAAAAGCGCAAAGAAAGCGUGCAUGUGCGAGGUCAUCCUAUGCUUCUUGCGACAUCUCGUGAUCUCUAAAUGCUAAAGCUACAAGAACGACUUGGUAAAUCAUUCUCAGAAAAUCUAAGCAACCCGUUUUCUGGAGCGGCCCCUCUUGGAUGGUUAUGAUAUUGAUUACUGAGAGCAAGUUAUGUCAUCACCAUCGAAAUUAGGGUUUCCCUUGUCGAAUAGUUUCUAUGGACUCUGUUGUUCUCGUCCGUUCUUUUCCCGAAGUAUCGGUGGUCCUUAAUCGUUCCCAGUAAAUCCUCCUUUCUUCUCAGCACCGCGAGCAAACUAAGAGCUUUUUGAAAUUUAGCAAGCUUUAUUUAGUGUGCAUAUUCCACCUUAAACCACGCUUCAAGUGCCAUCUGGCUUUUGAAGCAUAGCUGAGAAAGCUAGUGGGUUGCUACUUAUAGACAUGCUUAUCCCAAGAUUAGAAGUCAUGAAUCAGCACUUGUUUUUGCAGAAUAUUUAGAUGCACAUCGAUCGACGUCCGCUGGAUGUGGGGUGGUCACGAAAGCAAUCUUUUGACGAGCACGUUGAUAUAGUUAGGUAGCAUUUCUUCAAUAUGUUGUUUUCUGUAGUUAGGGAUUAUGUCGUUCAUGCAAUGUUUCGGGCAAAUCCGAUUCUCUCUUUCUCCUACCUCGUGAAUUUCUUGAAGCUAGAAACAAGGUUGAGACAAAAGCCCUAGCUUUCUGCCACGAGGCCGGCCUAAUUUCCUCGCCCCCGUAACAGAUUCCGGCCAAGUCCUAAUCGCAUGACAGAGACUUUGGUUUAGUCAGUUAGCAUAAAAUAUCAUUUGUGUUUUUUUCCCUUCAGCUGGAUACGGAAUCAUCAGCUUUUCCUGCACUUCACCUAAUUCGUCGACCCGAAAUAAUCACGCCCUUUGAAAAUGCACAGCGCAACACGUGCAGAAACCCUGACCUGGCAACCCUAUUUUCUUCUUUUUGGCUUAGACCAAUUGCUCUGAUAUCCAUCACUUUCGAUCCAUCAGCAGCACAAUGUCAAACCAUUCCAUUACCAUUGCGUUCACAAGGUGGACAUUGUCUGCAUGAUAUGAAAGGAUCUUGUAUGAUGUGUUUGCCUGUUCUUUGAAAGUGAAGCUCUUUGCGUUCACACGAUCCUUUUCCCCGGAUUAAAUUACUUGCGGCGACCAUAUCUUUUAGAUUCAAAAGGGAAACAAACACAGGCUUAUGUAAUUCGGUCGACGUUCCUUUGACAAACUUAGGAAAUAUGAUUUCACACGAAAAGCUCUUUCAACGUAGAUAUAAUAAGAGUAAAUAAAAUCCUGACGUCUUGUGACUCCAACAAUGAAGUGUGUUUUUACAAGGAGUGUAAAUUUAGUGUUGAUAUCGUUAAAAGUAUUUAUCAUGCGCAUUAACUAACCUGAAAAUAUAUAUGGUCGAAGUGAUGCAUCUAUAUAUGGAUCCACUGGGGUGAUAUAUCGAGAGGAAAAUUUAAUUCCAAUAUGGAAGAUUUCCUUAUCCUCAAGACCUUUGUGAAGCACAAUUAACUAUAUUUAAAAAAACUUAUAAUCCCAAGUCAACUUUUUGUCGUAAUUCAAGAGAUCGAAAACGAGAAAAUAAAACCUAUAAUAGUUAAUUUUCAUACUUCGUAAAAAGAAAAUAUUACUAGAUCAAGUGAAUGGUAUAUAAGAACUGUUUUUGGCCAAGUCUCUAUAAACUUAUCGAAGGAGAGAAAUUCAUAACUUUUCAGGUGUUAUAGAGUCCGAAGCAUCGAUGUCAAUGGUCAAGUUAUGGAUAAUAUAGUUGAUGUCAAUUUUCUUUUCCUCAAGACUAUCCCCACGAGCAUGCACUCCUUCUUUUGCUUGAUCAGCGAUCAUUGCCUUGAAUAGGAAGUUACACAAUUUUUGCACGUUGUGCUCGAGAUUAAAAGCCACAGUUUCACAUUUAUACGCCAUACCAAAAUACGUAUACGAAUUUAGAGUUAACACAAAUACACGUAAGUAUGGUUUAUUCACGAGUUAGGUAUGUACCGAUAUGCCGAAUAAAAGGGGUUGCGUGAAUCCGAUUGUUUGUGAUCGAGCUGAUAUCGAAUUUGAGAAAAAACUCAAGUCUGGAAUUUUGUUUGGGAGAUUCAGCGUCAUUACUGGGGACUAGGGUUUUUAGAGUGCUUUCAUACAUGUAUUUCUUUUUCUUUUUCUUUUUCUUUUUUUGGUUGAAUUCAUACAUGUAUUUUUUUUCCUUUUAAUUUUGCUUGUUCUGUCGUUCAUACCUAACGAAGUAAUUGACGGCUGACUGUCCAAGGUAUCUGCCUUACCUCUACCCAGUUGCUUGAUCUUGAAUUUAUUUCAUACCUGCGGGUAAAGAAAAGGGGAUUUUGCACCUCUGAAAUACACUUAGCAUUGAUCUGGCUACAUUUUCCAUAAUAUCACACAUAUAAUAAGUUUUCAUUAUAGGAAUAAUACCCAUUAACGAUUUUCAUAUAUGAUUAAGGUGCGGACCUUUUCUAUGAAGAUCAAUCAAUUGGACAUUUAAUGUCUAUAAGUAAGGUCCUUCAUCAUAUGAACAAAGUAAUUGACCGACGACUGUCCAAGGUUCUGCCCCAGCUCUUGCUCCAUGCUUAACAGCGAAAUUAUAUCUCAGGGUCAAGAAGAAAGGAAGCUUGUAUAUAUGAAAUACACUUAGCAUUAAUCAACAAUCUACAAUCACGAAAUAUGAAGGUCUCGAGUGUGUAACUUGAAAUCCCGUAUGUAAAAUAUGAGAUGUUGACAUAUAUUAUUAUGCAAUAGGUCAUAUUAUCUAACAACCAUGUUUUUGAUUAGUAGGUUAUAAGUUUUGAAUAUCAUCCGCAUGCAAAAUUAAUUAGAAUCAAAAGUGAGCAAUGUCUAUAUUUGUCACCCAUCAAUCAAAUGUAACGACAGAUGAAAUUCCUCUAACUAGGGAUGGAGGAAAGCUUCACCCCUUACGUGACAUAGACAACAAAGCUAUGAGUCAUUGUGUGACUGCGUGAUAUGUGUAUCACUGGUGUUUUGGUUUUGUCUAUCAUCCAAAAGGUCUUUCUGACUAAGAACUAUUAUUUCUUGCUAUUUCACCUAUUCUUUUAAUAUAAAUUUGGCAUCUUUUUGGACAAAAUAUCUUUUGAACCUUAAACAUUUUCUUCCUCCAUGAAACUUCGGGAAGAAAACAAUAGAUUUCAUUCCAGUGGAGCUGGAGCUUUCACCUUUUGAUAAGCUUAGUGGGGAGGCUUGCAUGGGCAUACGGAUCUUUCGAGACUACCAAUGUUAAUCAAGUCAAGAGGGCCCAUUAAGACUUAGACUUGCACAAACGCUUAUCUCUUAUUUGCGGAGUUCCUCCAGGAGGGUCCUCCAAUUCAAUAAAAUAGACAACUACCGAUUGAAUAUUCUUCUCCCGCGUGACAUCUGCACAUGUUUCCUUCUCCACAAAGGACAGCGAUUCGAGAAGCAAAACAUGACAUCUGGGCGGCCGACCGUAUGGUGGAAGCUUGCGCACUUACCUUAAUUCACAGCGAUUCGCCCUUUCUCCGCGAUUGGACUCGACGAAAGAAUGGGUCUCUCGCUCGGCCAACAGAAGCAUUAAAGAGUAGACCAAGGUUUUGUUUCGCAAACCAUGCUUAGAUUCGGCUAAGAUUUGAUCCUUAGUUGUCAAUGACAUGGACACUACGGAAGUACGUACAUUGACGCGUAGUUCCAAGAGGUUGACCCUUUUGUCUUUAUCGCCAAGGCGUUCAAAGGAGGAUCUUCAGGAAGCAGCCUCGGAUGACGUGCCACCAUACUUUUUUCUCUCGACUCUUUGUUAACGUGACAUUUUAGAUUAACUCAUCAAGAUCUUGUCCACUUUGAUCCGAGCCUCGUAGUUUUGUUCUUUAGCGUAUAAGCGAAUUUCUUAUCAAGAGGUCACCUAUUCUAAGGGUGUUCUCACUUGAACAAGCUUAAAUUUAAAGUUUCAAACCUAAGCACUGUGGCAAUGUUAAAAGGCAUCUCCGUGAGUCAAUUUCAUUUUUCACAUAUAAAUCUUAAAUUACACUUCUCUUUUUCAGUGCACAAUUUAAUUCAUUUCUGCCUACUUCGUCAUCUUAAAAGCAUGUUAGAAACCGCUCAUUGUUUAGGUCCUCUAAGCUUGACAACCAUUCCCAGUCCUCGUCAUAAUAAAUCUUUACAGUUAAACAACACGGCGUCACCACAUGAGCAUAAAACCUUGGUGCUUUGGCUACAAGCUGACACGAGACGUGCCGGCAUGGCAUCGUCUGUCAGGUCGAUGCGUUAGUGGCUAGACGAUGCACGAUAGAAAAAUCUCUUAAAACUGAUCCUGGUACGUGCGAGCCCCGAGCCCUUGAAUUUGGCAGGUCCGACGUGGAAUCCACCCGAUCCAGGGGCUUGGCACACACGCUUCUUGAGCAACGUCGCCACGGUGCAUGGGCUUAGGCAAUGAGCCUGGGCCGACCCAUUUUUCGUCCCUCAACUGAGGAAAUGAAUACCGGCCCAUCCAUUCACGUCAUCAUGGGCCAAUGACACCGCCAGCCCAACGUACGACUAAGCCCCCAUCGCAAAGGAUUUCGGGCAACGCCAUCUUCGGGAAAUGGCCAGAGAUUCUUCUCAUCCAUCCUCAACGUCUUGACCAUAAGUCGUCCCCGGUUCGCACAUCGGCCGAUUUCCGCGGUGGUUUGAAAAAUCGAAACUCCGCUCAACAUCCCCGCCAGCCAAAACCCGCAAAAAAGGAGAGGAAAAGUAAAGGGCAUGCGAUGCUUAUCCAUUCCCCUAAUCUAUAUCUGUAACUUUUGUCUUCUUUCCCUUUCCCUGUUUCGACGAGAUCGAGAAUUUGUUCUGGCCCGGGAGAGAGACGGAAUUCGGCACGUUUCCCUGUUCCAGACGGCCACGUUCUUCAAAAGCAUCGAAAAGAAAGGAAAAGAACGAUAGGAGAGGAACCGGGGCGCACCUCGCAGAUAUUUUUGACGCAGAAUUCAUUGCAUGGAACCUCGGCCAGAGCGAACAGCAAUGGAGUGAUGUAAGCGCACACGUCGGCAUUAGGUGGGUCUCGGUCGUGGGUCGUGGCCAAAUCGCAUUUUUUUCUUUCCUUUCCUUUUUGUUCCUGCGGUAGAACAGUAAAGUCCAAAUAGCCACCGCCGAAAACGGACGUGGAAUUAUAGGGAUAAGUACUAGGUUCUAAAGUCGGUCCCUAUCUAAGAAACGUGGAAAAUGCUGGUGCUUCGAUCCGCCUCGCGCGUGGGAUUGUUGUUUAAUUUUUACAACGUGGUUGAAAUGCCGCAAUAACUACUUGUGGUCCAUAUCCGCCGACGUCUUGCUUCCCCCCCAAAACUAAGGAAUGAAAAGCUGACCUGGCCUUGAAGUAAAGAUUUUUUUACUAUUAGGAGGGGUUAUUAGGAUAAGCAUUCCCAUUUAAAAUAACGUUGGUGCGGUCAAUUUCUAACACGAUCAUUACUUUUUGAUGUAAUUUUUGUAUGUUGUUCAUAGGAAUUUUUUUUUUUUUUUUAUGACUGAGGAACUGCCGAAGAUCCCUUACGGGGUCACACCACCCUCCGAUGCCUUGUGGCACUGUCGGACGUCUUUGCAAGCCACUAUUUAAACAUAGAAAAAAAAAAUAUUACUAAACACAAGGAAAAAUGACAUAUACAAUAUGUAUUUUGGCUCAGUAUGUAAUCUUGACUUUGAACUUUAAUUUUUUUCACUACAAUCCCUCAACUUUAAAUCCAUCGCUAUUUGAUGACGUGGAUUAUUAUAUGCCGAGUUAGAUUUAAUAGAAAAGAUGAGUAAACAUAUUCGUCUUUUUAUUCAUUUACUUUAGAAAAGGGGGAAAAUUAGGGCAUUCACAUGUCCAUUGUUAUUUGAUGACGCAUGUGAGAUUUUUUUAGACUACUACCAACUAUUAUAAAAAUUUAAACUAUUAGAUAAAAGUAUUUUUUAAUAUUUAAUUAUUCUAUCAUUUCUCCUCACGCUUAGUCAGGUUUUUUUGAUUAAUACUAAAUGUUUACAUAUUUAAUUAAAGAGACAAAUAGAGUUUGGAAAUAUUUGAACUUAAAACAUCCGGUUUUGAUAUUAUGUGAGAUUCACUACCAACUAUAUUAAAAUUUUAAAAUGUUAAAUGAAUGCGAUAUGCAAUGUUAAUUAUUCUAUCAACAUGAAUUAUUAUAUCCUAAUUUAAGAUAAAUAUCUUGCAUGAAUAAUUUACAAAUACUUCUUUUUUUUUGUUCCAUCGUUUAAACUUAACGAAAUGGAAGCCAUUGGCAAAAGGACCAUAAUUCAAGAUUUUCCAUAUAUUUUAUGAUAUAAAUUGAAAAGUCACUAAUAAUUUAGAAAUCAAAUCAAACUAAUUAACGAUCUAAAAAUGAUGUUGCACACUAAAUUAAAGUUCAAGAAUUAUUUAUGUCAUCUUUUAUGUUAGAAUCGGUGGAAGUGGACAUUCGCCUCUGACUCCAUACACAUGGAUCGAGUGAAUUAUAAGUUUGCUGAUGAGAUGACGGUGAAAAGAUUGUCCAAGACACACACAACCGCCAAGUUUCGUCCUACGUUGGAUUCAUGUCGCGUACGUGUGUCGGCAAUCGUUACCUUACACGGUUGAAACUGUGAUGCCCGAGCGCAUUCCCGGUCAAAAGUCAACAUUGGAAAAAAAAGAAAUUGCAACAAAGAUCUGCCUUUCAGCAGCCGAAUUAACCACACGUGCAAGAAUCAAGAAAAAAAGUCGAAAGGUCAAUGCUCAUCCUGAAUAGUAUAUGGCAUAAAAAAGGGUAUGAUUCCAAAGGCAUCGUAGCUUUUUCCAUAGGGAGAGAAAACCAAAGAUGCAAACAAAAGAGGGUGGGGGUUUUUCUCAUUUCGGUCAUUAAAUCGUUAGCCAUGACUCACGUUUAGAAAUGUUUGAUGGGGUUGUAAUGUUGGGUUUCCGCCCGGUGUUAUGUGGACAAAGGUUUAUUCAAUACAAGUUAACGAGACGGAUUUCGUGUAUCCUCAAAAAGAUCUCAAUGCAGAUUAGAAUAUUCAAAAAGUUAUAUUUUCAUGUUAUAAAAACACUCAAGUCGUAACAUUCAAUUAUAAAAAAAAUAGAUUCGACUUUAUUAAUGUGUCUAUCUAUAAUAAUUAGUCAAAUGGAUUUAUCAAUCGCGUUCGCGAAUCAAAUCCCUUUCAUCUCCAACCACUCCAAUAGCUCCCAAAUAUUUCACUUUCGCUCAAUUCUUUUCUGUACAAAUCACCAAUGCAUAUAUUUCUUCGUGCAUCCAAUUACGCGAUACACGUGAAUAGCGAUGCUAAUGUGCAUCCACGAAGAUCGGCUCAAAAAAGAAAAAGAAAAAAAGAGAGAGAGAGAAAGAAACAAAUAAAAUUGACAUGCGCCAUUUAAUUAUUGUGGCCCUUGUUCGUCUAUUAGCCAUGCCCUUUAUCCAUGAUUUACUCUAGUCGAUCUCAAUUCGUACCGACAUGUUACCGACGUGUAAAUCCCAUCACACGAAUCAACAUCCCAAAAAGAACUAAACUUGAUGAAUUAUUCAGCAAACGCAAAAUCAAAAGGCCCGGGCGCCUGCCUGGCCAGCCUGGCGAAGGACAGCAAAAAUGUGAUAGAAUUAGACAACAAGCCGUUCUCAUAACACGAACAAUAUUCGAACAAUGUCAUGCUAUAAUCAAAGCUUACAUACAUUUCAUAUGGCAAUGUGAACCCAAUAAAAUAAAUAACACUAUAGUCAUCAACCCCCCCACCUAAUGUUGCACCAAUAUCCAAUCCCUGGCCCCACCACAUCACCAAUCCUAUAGGCUAGAGACACCAUCGCCACCACCAAGCCCUUCAUCACGCCGUUGCAGUUUUGCCCCUCAACUUUCCUGUAUUUACAAACGACAAUACUUGAACCGAUUUUGUCUGUAUUCGCCUGUGUACACUGAAUCCGACCUCAAAAAAAUUGAAGUUAGCAUGAUCCCACCCCCAACUUUUUUCUUUUCCCUUUUUUCUUCACCGACCUAAAAAUGAAUCCACGCCGUCCAUUUCGAAUCUAAAAACCAUUCAAGUUAGCCCCCGGAAUUCUAAUUAUUUACAGAGCCGCCCCCUGUUUUGUUUGCACCUUUGCGUCCAUCUGUCCGGUUCUAUGCCCAUGUACACGUGUCAUUUGCUUUCUCAUUGCCGAAACCCGAGCCCGACGUUGUGGGCCGAGUAGCGGAACCCGUACGGGUCGAGCGAGUUCGCCAGGUUCUGAGCGAACCCGGUCGAACUCGGCUGGUAAAGCCCGGCCGCCGCCGCCGGCGGCGGCUGGGUCCUGAUCCCGCUCUGCACCUCCUCGUUCGCCGAGCCGCCGAGCUGCUGCCUCUGCAGGCCGUCGAGGCGGUUCAUCUGAGGGACAAACACGUCGUUACCGCCGUAGUUCACGAGCCCCUGAGGCUGAGGCUGGCUGACCGGGACGAGCUGUUGCUGGGGCUCCAAGUUGAGACUCGCGAGCGUGGCCCAAUCGAAACUGCCCGAGCCCAUCAGGGCCUGCAGGCUGGGCUUCUGCUCAUGCCGCUGCCGCUGCUGCUGCUGCUGCUGCUGCUGUUGCGCGAUCCUGAGCGAGUUCGCGUGCGGCAACGCGAAGCGCCGGUCGUUGAUCUCGGGCAGAGUGUCCAACAUGUUGUCCAAUGAAGAGGAAGGCGAAUGCGAGCCGUGGCUCUGUUCCUUGCUCGAGGAAGUCGAGGUGCUCGGCUUCUGCCCGCCCGAGCUCUUCUUGUAGAUUCGGCACAGGACCCACUCGUCCAGCUGCGGAUACACACAUACCAAGAACAUCAGUCGAUAGGGCUUGAUGAACACCGCUCGAAUCGAAUCGCGUUUUCGUUAAAAAAAAAAAAAAGGAGACACUUUCAAGAUUGAAAUGAAUACCUUAGUGCUUCCGCUCUUGCAGGUACUUGCGAGGAGGCGGUACUCGUGCAUGAUCCAGUUGGUCUUGUUACCUUUUGGGGCUUUGCCGAUGUAGAAAACGAGGGCUUUCUUGAUGCCGACCUGGCGGCCUUCGGUGCUGAUGACCUUGUCGGUGCCGGUCGCCUUCCAGUACCCGGUCCCGGCAACCCUGUUCGGCCGGGACCCGUUCGGGUACUUCCGGUCUCGGGGGCUGAAGAAGUACCACUCCUUUUCGCCAAACAUCGCCUUGCCUGAAAAAACACACACGAAAUUCUCGUCAGACCAUCAAUACAAGAAAUCGACAGAAGCCCAAAACGGACAACAUCAAACGGGCUCCCUAGCACACGUACUUGGCAAGACCCAGGGAUCGAACUUGUACAGAUCGAUCUCCCCGAUGAUCUCCAGACUGAACUCGUAACCGGCCACCUUGCGGCAGAGGUAUUGGACGAGGAGCUCCUCGUCGGUCGGGUAAAACCGGAAGCCGGGCGGCAGGCUCAGCUGGGCCAGAGGAUCGGUCCCCGGAACACCCAUUUCAGCUCUCGAAAUUUUGAAGGUUCAGGGAGAGACAGAGAAACAGAGAGAGGCAGGGGCGAUUUCUAGGGAGAGGGAGGGAGAGAGAGAGAGAGAGAGAGUCGACCAAAUUUCUCAAUUUGAAACUCUCUCUUUUCUUUUUUUUUUCUUAAACGUGAGAUCGGGGAGCUUUAUUUAUAGAGCCUCCCCUUAGAUGUGAGAGAGCGAUAAGUACGGUCGUCACUUUCAAAGGUGCUGGCUGCAUCAUGCAUCGGCCCCACCUCUGUCUGCAGCCCGCCACGUACUCCUCCGGAAAAAGCGGGGAGAGGCGAGUCGAGUUGGGCCGACCUUAUCCGGGCCUGUACGAGCCCUCACCCCCUCCCCCGUCCCCUUCGGUGCAUGCACCGCCGGUGGGAAAACGAACAAACGGGAGUCAGUCAAGGCGGGGGGACACGUGUCGGUCCUCCCCGGUCCGAUUUUUAGAAAGCGUCGCCUCCCCCCUAUGUUUUCAAAAAGGGACAUUUUCGGGAGGACCGUUCGGUGGAUUUAAGCGCGUUUGGUGCACAUGGUUAGAAGGCAAUGAUCGGCUAGGGCAAUGUCCAAAUCGUGCCUCAGCAUUUACAUAAAUCUCGUUCGUCGUUUACUAAGAUUUCGGUGUAUGAAUUGUUAUUCCUAGGGCGAAUGGUAAAUAACGUCCGGCCAUCUACGUACCGCCACGCGAGGCUCCUGUCCCCACGCCACGUCAUUAAUGCAGGUUUUCCGAACAGAGUCAAUUCUAAUGUCCUCGCGAUCGAAGGGCGGGUUGUACUUCGUACCCGCUGGAGUCGUUUAUCACGGGUGAGCUACGGAGCAACGUGGGCAUACGCCUCGGGGACACGUGCCUACGCGUGGUGUGGGGAUCGGGGAGAGUUAGGCCGGGGGGGCUUUAUUCAAAAAGGAGGAGGAGAGCGACGGGGCGGGGAGAUGGGCCAUGGGGCAAGGACAAGGACAAAGAGCGGUGCAAACGGCGUCGCAUUCGCGGGACCACGUCUACGGCCGGAGCCGAGGUCGGACGCCACCCCCACAUGUCGUUUCCUUUUCACGGAGUUCGCUCUCUAACAUCAUCAUUCAUCAUCAUCAUUAUUAUAAUCAUUUUUCAUGUGUGAGCGCGGACGAUGUGGUCGUGUUUAGGGUUUCUUCCACUCAUCAAUCUUCUGGCGCCCUGGCUUGUCGCUUCAUUUUUGCGUUUCGAAAGAUCUCGUUUUUCUAGUGGCCUUUCGUGGCGCGUUGAGGCGUUUCCGUUUUGGCGAUGUCUUGCAAGCAUUGGGCGGUGGCGAUGGCGAUGGCGAUGCGCGGGGGAACGGGGUCAAGGCGGGAGGAACGGUCUUCCGAGGACCAGACUGCUCUCAUCUCCACACUGACGUCGGCCUACACUCUCUGUUUUUUCCAAUCUCGUGAACGUGGAGUCUUCUCGGAAGCUUUGAUGGAUAUUGCGAUGGCGAGUCAAACCGACACGUAGAAGAUCGCUGGGCGGGCUUGGGAGGUCGACACGUGUAAAAGACCCAUCUUCAGAUAGGGAGCUAGGACUAGGAGACUUUUCGAGAGAGAUUACGGGCGAGAUCCACCACUCAUCGGUCGACCCGACUAAAGAAAAGGGGAAAAAGGGCAAGUGGGGGUCGAUUUUUCGCGAUAAAGGUCGGGACUUGAUUAUUAUGCCACGUGCAGAUGGGACGAUCGGGAGAUGUCGAGACGGGAUUGGCUGGGAGGUCUUGGAAAAUUCCUUCUGGCGUGCGGAGGAGAUUGGAUUUGCGCUGGCGCUGGCGCUGGCGCCCUAAUUUUUCCAGCAGCUUCGGCUUCUCCUCCAAAUCCCAUUAAUUUAAGAUGAAGAAUGACGACUUCCCGUGACAGCUCGAGAAAAAAGUGGGUUUCUUGAAUUGACUCGAGUGAUUCGGCCACGAUAUUUUAAGCCGAGCUGGCUUUUAGAACUUUGCUUUGGAAGCUGAAAUUUCUGUGUUUGGAAUUGUGGGUACCUGCUCGUUUGAAAAAGGGGACCGUACUCGAGAGCCGUUAUUAUUAUUAAUCCUCAUUGACGAAUCGUAAGUUUACUAAACAGAGACAGGAGUUGAUCUGAUGUGUUUUUCUUCAUGAAUAUAUUAUCUUUGGCCAUCCCAUCUUAGAGUUGGAAAGUCUGAUCUCUCCACUUCUCCCCUUAUAAAGAAAUAAGUGGUGCUGAUAUUUACCUCUUUCACCAUAUGUUAAAAUUAUCCAAUUAGUCCCUAACAUAUUUUGUUUUUAUCAAUUCAAUUCUAAGCUUUUUAAUUAUGCUAAUUGAGUUCUAAACAUUUUCAUAUUUUACUAAUUAAGUACCUCCGAAGGUUGUAAGCCUCAAGCAAGGGCUGCCCUCACCAACCUUAGGCAUUGGCCCCUAGUGAGGGUGGUCCUCAAUUGGGAUCAACGAUCUUUGCCGGCCAUUGACGAGGCUUGAUGAUGGUCGACCCAAGGAAGAUGGGAAAAAAAAAGGUAUAAAUAAAUAAAUCAAAAAUAUUAAAUUAUUAAAAUAUUAUUAAAAACUGUUAACGUCAGCAUUCGCUUGUCAUGUAAGAUAGUCGGCAUUCAAUUGGCUAAAAUUAUUCAAUUGAUAAAACGUGAAAAUAUUUAAAACUCAAUUGAUAUACUUAAAAGGUUUAUAAUUGAAUUAAUAAAAGUGCAAUAAGUUUAAACCUUUCUAGAAAACUUUUCCAUGCAAAUCAAUAUCGAUUAUAUGAUCGUUGAUGAUCACACGCAUUUGAUAUUGCGGCUCGGCACCGCGCUUUGAUCACACGGAGAUUUCGAGCAUCCAAGGAGCUAGAAUCCUAAUGAACCGUAAGCUACCAAAGCAUCUACCUAUCCUAGGGGGUUUUCAUUCGAGAGUUCAAACGGUAGGUCAGAGGUACAGCUGGUUUGUGAGGCUGUGAAAGGCCACGAGGAAGCCGCAUCAUCAAAGGUCCGUCGUUCAAAACCCGCUUGCUCUCGUGUCCGUUUUGACCUUUUGUGUUUGGCGGGAGGGAUGGCUGCUCGAAGACCAAAGACUUCACGAAACAGUGCGAAAAGGGACGAAAGAUUCAAAGGCCCUCGUCCGAGUUUUGGACUUCCGCAUGUGCGCAUGCAAAACUCGUUUUGCUUUCAGCCGCAUGCGGCGAUGGAGGGACAGGACGGACGACAUUUAAUGAGUCGUCGUCGGAUUUGAUUUAAUUGUUUAAAGUCGUUCAGUAGAUUCCAUGAACCUUCCCAGCUAGGGGGCUUUUCCUAACGCCGGAGGACCCAAGCUAACACCGGGACAUGUUCCGGCCGGUCGUUUGCUGUUUUGUGGGAAAUUUCAUGUGGACUGUUGUGGAGACUUGAAGUCCGGCUGGUGUCAAUAGCGUGUUAACGGAUUAAGAUUCAAUCCACAUUGCGUAAUUCGUGAUGCAUGCACCUGUGCCUUUCAUCAUAUCAUGGUAGUUUCUGGUUCUCCUAGGGCGGAGAACGUGACGAUUCGUACCUUAGAACAGGUCAAUCUCAUUUAUUUAAUACUCAAUUUAUAGACUUUUCUUAAUUAAGUAGCUAUAUAGAAGCGCGUGUUCGGUAUUCCUAUGUUAAAACUAAAUGCUCGGCUCAAGUAUCGUGUCUGGGAUAGAGGGUUUUCGGCAAAAGUAGUUUUAAAAGGGAAAAAUGUUGGGGCCUCCAAAAUCAACCUCAACGCCUCAUUUAUCUUCGCAAAACUUGGGUUACGUAUAAAGAUAUAUGUAGGGUGCGUUUGUUUCGCGGAAUACAUUUUCGGGGAAAACAUUUUUAUCAUUUUCCGGUAUUUGGAUCUCUUAGGAAAAUGAGUCAAUGAAAAACGUUUUCUUAGUCAAUGGAAAAUAUUUUCUUAGCAAAGCUUAAAUUCAGGAAAAUGAUUUCUCCUUUGAAAGGAUCGGAAAACGUUUUCCGAAUCUACAAACAAUUAUUCUUAUAAAAAAAAUUUAAAAAAAAAAACUGAAUUUGAAUUUUUUAUUUAAAAUAAAUAAAAUUUGGAAAACAUUUUUAAAAUAAAAAUAAAAAAUUCGAAUUUACUUCUUUUUCUUUUUCUUUUCUUCCUUUUUCUUUUUGCUUCUUCUUCACCGGUCACCGGCCACAAGGAUGGCCAAUGAGUUUUUGCUUCUUCAUUUUUUUUCCUGUGAUGAAGUGUGAUUAUUUUUUAAUGGGAUACAAACGACAGAAAACAUUUUCAAUUAUACAUCACCAAACAAAGGAAAACAAACCGUAUUUUUGGAAAAUGCUUUCGUAGAAAGCAUUUUCUUUUAUCAUUGAAUUUUCCGUGAAACAAACGUACCCGUAAGGAAAAAGAAGUACUAAAUGGCUUCGGGUAAGGGAGCAAAGCCAAUGGGCCCACCACCAAAGCCCAUGGAUCUGCUGCAUGGGCCUGGUGAAGAGCCCAGGAAGCAGUUGGAGUUUGGGGCCGAAGCGGCAAGCUGACCCCGACCCAACCCGGGCAUACAUUCCUCCAAUCCAUAAAAAUUGAUCGAAAGAGGUCUUCAAUUCAUUGACUAUAUGCAGAAAUUAUCGAGGUCAAUCAGAGCAACUUACCGACUAUUGUCGGAUAGAAUUUUGAGCUGGUUUUAGGUUACUAACUUUUUUCAAGCGGGUGCGUAGAUAACCCGAUCCCAAAGAUUCGAAGCAUCGGAUUGUAACCGAUUAGAGUCCCGAAACGAAAGCUGCCAGCCCGCCACCAAAUUCAAUCUCUCGAGAGCAAGAGAAGGGCUCAUGCUAAUUCCUUUCCUUGAAUGAAGCCUGUCUUAAGCAACACCAAACCGAACUCUUGCUACCCAAUUUAAAGCCCGCGAAAACGGAUUCUUGUAAUUAUCAACUUCAUCCGACAUCUACCUUCAAUUCAUCUGCAAGAUGAACUUCGCAAGCAGAAACUAUAUUCUCAGUUCAGUCUCUAGAUCAUACAUAUUACCAAAGUUCUCGCAACAAUCGAUCUUACUCCAUCCGAAAGUCUCGAUUGAGCUGAUGUAGCCAGUUUCACAUAUACAGUUCAACACAGAUACGGCAUUGUCGAAAAGUCUGCUCGGACAAACUCCGGAUCGAUGAUGUUCGCGUUGGGGCUCGACGGUUGGUGCGAGAAUUGACAAGGCGCUACGAGCAUUGCGACUAAAUCUCCAAUAAUUCAUUGAGCGAUGGGAUACACUUUAAAACGGACUAGGGUCUGCUUGGCCCUUUAAUCUUAAUCACAAAUAUUUUUUGACUUUUCCAUCUGACCCAAAUCUUUCAUUUUUCUUUUUAGGUUCUAGUGAAUUACGAUAAAAAGUAUUUACAAGAGUCCAAGCGAUCCUAUCAUCUAUAAAUUCAUGUGAAUUAAGAUUCCUUUUUUUUUUUUGGGUCGAAAUGUAAAUGAAAAUUCAAUUAAUUAUUGAAUGAGAGCAGAUCGACCUAUCUCUCUAAUUUAGUAAAUGGCCUUUUGGGCUAGCAACAAUGGGGCACAUUAACGUUCUUGUCUGUUGGAGACUCUAUAGGCAUUUCUCAGCAUAAGUCCAUCACUAAUCGAAACUACUCAACUCCAACAAAGGCUUCGUUGAAAUCACCUUGAUGAAAAGUGAGCCUCAGGAAGGCCAAAAGCACUAGGCAGAUCUUGAGGUGAGGUGUCUUGAGUUUUAAACUUUCUCGACGUGCAAGUUCAAGGAUCAAUAAAUUUUCUUUCCCAUCAAACCUACUCUCACCAAUUUUUUUGGUUUUCCAGUUUUGCUCUCCAUAUAAUUGUUCAUAUUCUUCGUGUGAGGGUGGCCAACGAGGGGCCGGCAAGGGGUUGGUGAGAUUGCAUAACCCAAGCAACCGUCACCCUAGGUCGCUCUACCUUGUAAAGUGAUUUAACACGUAAAAGGGCUCCCAACAGAGAAGGUCAGGUCCUCUGCACUUAAAGAUUCAGCUAUAACGAGGAAAGGUCCCAAUCCGGGAUUUUAUUUUCGACGGUUUUAAGGUUGGACACUAGCUUAUCAAUGCAUUUUCUAGUGAGAUGUCAUGACCUCAUUCGGGCAUCAAAACAUCUUUCGAAUAAAUGGGCGCUCCGCCAGUAGUUUACACAUAAAUCUGUGGGGGAGCAAUAGCCCCCACAUAACUCCAUACUUAACAAUCAUAUUAUAAAUGCUCGGCCCCUUUGAUUUGACACAUAAAUAGGUUUGUGUGGAGCCGAGGAAGGAUGUUCAUUUACUACAACAUAAAAAUGUACUUUAGUUGUUUAGUUGCAGUUGCCCCUUUAGUUCAACUCACGUAAACCAGUUUGGCACAUGGAGGGUGACUAUGGAAGGACUUGAACAUUAGUUGGGAACGGUAGCUGUGAGGAGAGGCACUCGGUCGUGUGGGUCAGGUGAAAGGAGGCCACUUUCCGGAAUCUGAAGUGCGUGGCCAUGUUUGCUACGAGGUACCGUAGAUGUCCCUAAAACUGCAGUCCGCCUCAUCAGCACUUGGGAAUCGAACUGUCCCGUCGGUGCGCCAAGAUGUGAUCCGCAGAGAGACGGAGAGGGAUGCAAAUUGAGAGAAGCAAGAAGAGGAAGAGGAAGAGGAAGAGGCGGUCAUGAGCAUGGGAGGGGAGAUGGGAGGGGAGAUACUGAUGGCUGUGGUCGGCCUCUGGGCGGUCUACCUCCGGCCGCGGAUGAUGAGGUUUGCCGGGGAGAUGAUCGGAGUCAUGGGUUACACGGUGAGCAGAAUCAUCAGGGGCAGGGCUUCCUUCGUCUUCUCCUCUCAUUAGCCCUCCUUGUAUGACCCUUCUAAUAGGAUCUUAUUGUUAUUUUCUUCUUCUUCUCGUUAUAUCCAAUUCUCCUGUUGAAUUGGGUAGGAAUCGAGCUAACUUAGCACACAGAGUAAAGAAUAACUUUCUGUGGGCAGGUUUGUGCAAUGUUAAUUGAGUUCACUUCACGUCGCACUGGCUUACUAAUUAUAAACGUCGCUAGUCUUGGAUCGUUAGGGCCCCAGGUCCGAAUUUUCCUCGAGCCAAGGUGCUCCGACUCACUAGGCGCCGCACGGGCAAUGUCCUGGCCGGAACAGUCUUGGCCUAUGACAAUGUGGCACUCACAGUUAGGUAGUUUACGAAUUGCGAAAGGAGAGAUGGGUGCCGUUCGUCCUGCAAUAAUUAUUGCCGAUGUUUCGAGAGGCUAUUCGAUCAUGGCUAUGCUCUCGUCAAGUUCUUCAUUUUACUGCGACAUUCGUGAUUCGAACAUGGGCCGAUGAAUCGUCCACACUCGAUACUGGCCUUCCGAUUCUCUAACUUAUCCUGUUAGGCAUGUUAAAGGUUCUAUCUAGUUUUGUGGUGGACCCUGUGGCGGUGGUGAUAGGUGGGAAAGACUUUCCUUUUUCUGCAAGCAAUCGAUUAAAGUCAGAACUCACCCCGACCAUAAAUUCAAGCGAGCAAAUUCCGUGGGCCCCAUCAAAAAAUCCGUGGACCCCCCAUCAAAGCC